CAUACAAAUGUUGAUUGGAAUAUUGGCAAAGUCUCUAUAGUAAGGAUUUGACUCUACAAACUAUACAAUCACAUACAAAAAGAAUUAUUAACAUUGAUCCAAUGUUGUGUUUCUACAUGAUUCAGGAUGAUCAACGAUAAAAGAGUUUGAUCAACUUGAAUAUUAACACCAUAUAUAUAUAUAUAUAUAUAUAUAUAUAUAUAUGGAUCAUUUGGAAUAUUUUUCUUUUUGCAGGAGGAUCAGAGAGGGACUAUGAUUUUGCAAAGUACCCAAUUUUACGCCCAGCUGUGUCUACAAUUCUCUUGGGGCCAACAAAAAAAAAUGUUCAACCAUGAUCUUGUUUUAUGGGCUUAUGUUCAUCUUGGUGAAUAUUAAUAAGAUCAAGGACAAGUACAACAUGUACUUUAAGGAAAGUAAUACAGUGCGGAAUUAAACCUGUAGAACAUGCAUUCAGUCACUCAUUACCACCAAACUUUGUGCAAUAAGAGUUACUGAAAGGGUGUUUUCAAUAAAGCACUAGAUCUUCACGUCUUCGGAUAAAUAGGGAAAAAAAUCUAGCUUCUACAAGACACUAUUUGUAAUUCCCUCAAACAUGUCAUCCUGUGAACUAAAAUAUCUCUAAUUAAAUAAACAGCAAACUAGGAACCCAUAGUUGUAAUGGUACAUAUAAGUAUAUCAAUUUGGGGUAUCACAAAAGUGUUCCUUUGGAAGAGAAAAAGUAUGCCACCAUCAUUUUCAAUAGCAGCCUCUAGGAACAAGUGCAUACCACUAAAACAAAAGUAUUGUCUCUUACUUUUUUGGAGAACUUGUCUGGGGAAGCUUUCAAUUAAGAAGAAACAAGAGUUUUACAAAACACACCUGACCUCAAACCUAACAAAAGUAGAGAUAAUAGUAUUGUUUUUUACUGAAAUAGAUCAUAGAAUUAGUAAUGCAAGCACAUAUGCUGAGUAUAGAACUUGAACACAAAUGAUAUUGUGACCCGGUGCUCUCUCCCUUCUACUUUUCAUCCAUGGUUGAGUAAAUCCCUUAUUUUCAACUCAAGAUAUAUUGUCUUCUCACCAGAUUUACAAAAACAAAUAAGUAAGAAUGUUAUGUGAUACAUGAGUAGUAUAAAGAGUUUCAAAGUCUCUUCAAAUAAAAAGCAUGCACCAAAUUUAUGGCAUAUCACUACACAUCUUUAAUGUACUAUUUUCUUCUACAUAUAGUAAGUAGAAUGUCACUAGACCAAGUAGCAUGUAAACAUUGUCGUUCUCCCAAUUAUGUCUUCUCUACCUCAUAUCACAUUUGUCAUAUUAUAUAACAUUAUGUCCACAAGAGUUUUUAUUUUUUCAUGAGGGAGUGCAAUAAAAUACUUAUAGUCAACAUAAAUCAAAUAUUCAAUGUCAAAUGUAACCCUUAUCACAACUACUUUUCGCACUUCUUACAGUCUUCCUUUGUCACAAUUAUCUUUCUCAUUUCUCACACUCUUCCGUACUUUGAGAUCUUAAAAUUCUCCAAACCAAUCCUUAUGCUUGUGAGCCGGUUUAUUUUCUCAUCUCAAAGUUUACUAAACUAUUUCUUGUAAUUUGCAUGCAACCACCACAAAACGUCUAACAAUGCCAUUAAUCCUUCACAUAAGAUCUUAUAGCUCACAUAAACUUUUAUUAUCUUAAUACAUCUUAAUAUAAGUCUGAUCUCCAAUGUUCCAUAUAACCAUCUGGAAGACCAUGAUACAAUGCUAAUAGAUAUAUAUUUUUUCCAUGAGUCACUUUUAUUAAUUUAUAUAAUACUUGAUCUGGUUAAAAUUAUUAAAGUCUUGAUUCUAAACUACUGAUAAUUAGGUCACAAUUAACAAAAUAUAAGUAACAUGUUGUAUUUUUCAUUUGGACCUAUCACCAUACCAUAUUAGUAUACAUACAUACACCAAAAGACAAAUUACAUAUAAAACUCACACUUGUUAAAAGUUCAUUGUUCUUUUUCUAUAUUCUAUAAAUCAUUAAUUAUAUCUUCAUAAGUAUAGCCUCCCAUGAUAUCAUUGUUGGAAUUUAAUUCCCCAAAAUUGUGACAGAAUCUUUGGAAUCUCAAUUUUUUUACUUGACCCGGAUUAAUUUAUUCCAAUCUGUAAAAAUAUUUUAUACUUGAAGGUGAGGGGUUAAAAUUAACAUAUGUCUUGUUUUACCUACCAAUGUAGAUUAAUGUUUCUUCCUAAAAAAAUAUUUGCUUAGCAAUCCUCGUAUCAGCUGCUCACCAGUAACAUGGAUUUUCUAGUAAAAACUUAUUUAGAGGUCUAGUACUUCAUUCGGUCUAAAAUAUAUGUCGAUCAAAACAUCAACAUAGCCUAUAAGGUAACAAUUUGACUAAUAGUUUUUAUAAUAUGUACACUUAUGAAUAAAAAUAAUUAUUAACAUUGAUUUUAUCUUGCCAAUCUACAUGGUUAAUCAGGUGUUGUGAUCAACGAUCAAAGAAUUUGAUCAACAUGCAUAUCAACAAUUAAAUACAUCUCAUAUUAUUGGACCAGGUGGAGUGUACUUUUGUUUUGGCAAGAUCAGAGGGAGUGUGACGUUGCAGGGCACUGCUGCACCACAAUUUUAUGGCAGUCUAUUAUUUGCUCGGGGUCAACUAAAAACAUGCACAAUGAUAUCGUUUUAUGAACAUGGCUUUGCUCAAUAUGAAAAAAAGGCCUAAGUCAAUGAGUUUGUAUAGGUAAAUGUUAAUAAGAUCAACAACAAUGGACAGUAUAACAUGCAUUUCAAGGACAAUGUUUUUUGAAUUAUGCAUGAUAUCUUCGCUUCUUUGGAUAAAUAAAGAGAAAAAAGGUUUUACAAGACACUAUUAAGGAUUAAGGAUUAGUUUAAAUGAAUAGCAAACACCUAGAACAUUCAUACUUGUAAUUGUAUAACAAGACAUCAUUUUGAAGUAUAACAAAAGUGUGAGGUUGGAUAAAAAAAGGGUAUGCUGACACCAUCAUCAAUAGUCGUCUCAGAGUAUACCACUAAGAUAUAUAUUUUUCACGAGGCACUUUCAAUUGGUUUGUGUAAUACGUCCUCACUACAAAUAAGUAACACCUCCAGUUUUAACUGUUUACAAAAAGAGAGGCAAUAUAUAUUUUUGAAAAAAAACUAUUUUGUCAAUUAAUUACUAGGAAUGGUGCUACUUCUGUCAUUAAUAUUAAUCUGAAUAGCAAAGUCAAAGUCAUCAAUUAUUCGUAAACAGUUUGGUGUGAUUGAGUAAAUAGAAAUCCCCAAUUUUCCCAAGUCACCCCACUGUUGAGAAUUUUAAUUUAUUUUUUCCGGCCAUAGAAAAACUGCUGAUGGCAUAUGCAUAUCAGAGCGUGAGCUUCAAAGAAAAGAACGUCGUCUUGGUCUGCUGGAGUGAGUGCAGGCCUUCUUCAUCAACAUACAUAAAAAGGGACAAAGCGAUCGAAUCAGGAACCGUCCGACUCUGGCUCGAAGGCCAUGCUUUCGGCCUCGUUCUUGAGGGACUCGUACAUGAACGACGACAGGUAUCGCUCGCCGAAGCUCGCGAAGAUCACCUGCAACCACCAACGAAGAACAAGUUAGAUUUAGAACGUGGUAGCAGACCACCAUCACGUCGCAUUGCGCGACAGAAUCGAGAAAGGUCUCCGAUGACGCGGGCAGCUUACGACGAUGAGCUUCCCCCUGUUCUCGGCCCUCCUGGCGACCCUGACGGCGGCGACGGCCGCCGCGCCCGACGAUAUCCCGACCUGAAUGAUGAUGAGAGGGAUCGUCUCGUCAGUCAGCAGAUGCAGAGUUUGGAACAGAGCCGGUCGAUCGAUGAGCUAGGUAGCUCACCAGUAGCCCUUCGUUCAGGGCGAUCUGCCUCGCCAUGCCCGCGGCUUCCUCGUUGGAGACCUGGAACACCUCGUCGAGGAGGCUGACAUCGAGCACGCCGGGAACGAAGCCGGCGCCGAGGCCCUGAAUCUUGUGCGGACCUGAGCUUGGAGAAACAACGCAGCGUCAACAAUACGUGCUCAAGGCAGGGCAAUGUAGGUGAGACAGAGCAGGGCUGAUCGCAGAAGAAGGUGCGGCAUCUCACCGGGUUUCCCUCCGGACAGCACCGCGCUCUCCGACGGCUCCACGCCAUAGAUCUUCAAGGCAGGGUUCUUCUCCUUGAGGUACCUCCCGGCUCCGGUGAUCGUGCCGCCGGUCCCUAUGCCGGCGACGAGAAUGUCGACCUUGCCCGCCGUGGCGCUCCAAAUCUCGGGCCCGGUGGUCUCGUAGUGGACCCUGGGGUUCGCGGGGUUGGCGAACUGCUGGAGCACGUGGGAUCCCGGCGUCCGCGCCGCGAUCUCCUCGGCCUUGCGCACCACGCCGUCCAUGGCCAGCAUCGGGUCGGUGAGCACCACCUCCGCGCCGAAGGCCCUGAGCACGGCCCGCCGCUCCGUGCUCACCGACGACGGCAUCGCCACGAUCAGCCUGUACCCCUUGGCCGCCGCCAUGAACGCCAGCCCGAUGCCGGUGUUCCCGCCCGUCGGCUCGAUCAGGACGCUCUGCUCAGAUACGAUACGCAUUGGCGCAUUGGUGUCAGCACGGAGCAUGGUUGCAACGAAGAAUUGCAAUGGGUCAGUGAUCUCCCUCGCUCACCUUUCCAGGGGUGAUCAGGCCCUUCUCCUCCGCGUCGGCGAUCAUGCUAUAACCAAUCCUGAGAAGCAUCACCAGAUGAACAGAUAGUAAAGUUGUUUCUGAGCAAUGUUGGCACUCGAUUCUUGAAUCUUGACCAUAUACCUGUCCUUGAUACUGGAGCAGGGCGCCAUGAUCUCAAGCUUGGCAGCUAAACGCGCCUCACACCCGGAUACCACCUUGUUCAGGUACACCAACGGGGUCUUACCGAUCAACUGUCACCAUUGCAGCAAAACAAAAUUGCAGUGCAUGCAGGUCAAUUCAGAUGGACAUAUUCGAGUUACCCUAAGAAAAGAAAAGGAUGCACGUGCUUGCAGAUUUGCUUACGCACUUCGGUUACAUCUUUUGCGAUCAUCAAACUCUGAUCUUUCGUGGUCUUUGAACCCUGAUCUUCGACGGUCUCAGAGCUCGGACUCCAUCCCCCCAUUGCUCACUCUGUGUUGCACUCUGCAGCAAGACAGGUCUUUGAUCGAUGAUGCAGAAUGCUACGCAACACGCAGCAUUUUAUAGCGUGGCUGCAACGACGCAUAUGGUACAUGUUGGUGGUGGAUGGUGCAAAGAUGCAGAGAUGCCUUUGUGCUUUGCCCUAGCCAUUUGUGUUCUCGUUGUUCUUGGUCGAUCUUUGAUUAAGGGCUUUGGUGAAGUUGUCCAAGGAUGAUGUCGAUCUCUACCGAUAGUUACAAAAGUUGUUGAUGCUUACAAGGUUGCCCGUACGUAUACCUGACAAAGUACUAGUACCUUUUGUGGCAUAACCGUGAAUCCGUGAUGAUGAAAACCUUGAAAACCGACUGUUGCUAGUUGCAGAGAAAGUAAAUUUGGUUGCAUGUUCUAGUGAAGACAAAUGCAGAACUCACGUCAUUGUGUACUUCAGGGGCAUGCAGACGUAUCGUGGACGACAUGAAUGACAUCUCUUGUUUCAUGACGACGUGCAACAGAAAAGUCAAUUUACUUCCUUGUUCCCCGGAACAUUUCUCUUGCUAUUUUUGAAUGGUUUGCGUGCAACUAAAAUUUAUCAUCAGACACUUUUUCUUUUUCUUUUAAAUAAAGCAGAAGCAUUGCUGAUUUAUUUAAGAAGAGGAGAGAAUGUCUGGGUUACAUAUGGUUCGAUGUUACAUAAAUUGAUUAAUUCACUUAGAAUAACAUAAAGAUACAAAAUACUUAAACCAAAUUCUAGGUUACCACGUACCCGUUGCAACAACUGGACUCUUGGAUCAACAGGAAAACCUGAUGUGGCUUCAAGCUUUUUCUCUUUAAAAACACACCGAUUCCGUUCCUUCCAUGCUGUAAACAUGAGCAAUGCAGCGACACACCUUUUCCAAACCAUUAAAUCCAUCGAGCUGCAACCAUCAGCUCACGUGCAUUUAAAACUACACAUUUGAAGUGCUGUAAUUUUAGACGACAGAAAAAAAAAUUUGGCAGAUGAUUGAGCUGCUGUUUUCCUUUUCUUUUCCUAGGCAUGCUAACCAUCGCAAGUCUGAAUAAUUUGCUAAAUCUGUUAUGGCUGUGUGCAUCCCUGAUAGUGCAGACUCCGGGGCUUACCUUCAUUGUAUAAAAAUGCUAAAUCAUCAAAUGGAUUCCUAAAUAUCAAUUAGAAUUUAAAGAUGCAUGUCAUAUAAUAUAUUCAUAGUUAUAUAAAAGAAAGGGUAUGUUAGAUUAUGAAAAAUCUAUGUUCAUCAAUUAGGAGAUCAAGAUGGAUGAACAAGUGAAAGUAGUGAACAAACUUCUUCAUCCAAAGCAUUUUGCUUGUAUCCUAGUUUUGUUGGUGUUUUAUGCUGCAGCUUGCUUAAUUUUGCCCAACAAGAAUGGCUUACAUCUUUGACCUUUUCUAGGUGAAGAUAAAACAUUUAAGACUCACAUGAAACGAGCUGCUCCCCCCAUUUUUAAAUAUACGACGCUUAGGACAAGCUAAUUCUUAUCCUGAACGUCAUAAAUUUAAAAGGUAUGGAGUAUAGUAAAAAAAAAUCCUGCAAACUAUUAGAUUAAAUGUUGUGAAAUUAAUUUCUUUUUUGUACACAUGGUCUCUAUUAACGCGUAAAAGACAAUCCGCUGCAUUUAUCAGGAAAAGGGGAUUUUCUUUUACUGUAGUUUAUCUGAUGAGAGUUUCAAGGUUUUCACGAAUUGGCUAGUCAACCAGGUUUAUUUUGCACCUGGUUUCAUGUUUCAGUUGUGCAUCUAGUAAGCUGGUGCAAUGUUUACGUUUGCCGUUUGGUAACGAUUCAUGUCAAUGUCAUUGACUCAUUGUACAGGUGAAGUUUACGUUUAUCUUGUCCAUGCCACUACUCGAUUGGAUCAGUUCAUGGUGCUGCUGCAGCCGGUGAAAAUGAAAAAGAAUGAGAGCCAGAGAACUGAUGAGCUCUGUAUCCCAUUCAGCUAGAGAGUAGAGACUCAUUGACGGAUGUAUAAGGCAUGAACUCAUAAAUUAGCAAGCAUGGUGACUUUGUUUACAGAUGAGUAGAUGACCAUCUAGGAAUCUUAAUUAGAACAGGCUACAGAGAGAAAGGGAAAGCACUAGUGAUUACAGAAGCAAAACUACCAGCACCACAGAGCCCGGAAAGAUAGCAUCAUGAGAAGAGUAGUGGCGAGCUGCACCGCCCCGACCUGGAGUUGCAGGGCGCCCAUCCCCACGUCGUCCUGCAACGCAAUGGAGAAAAAGAAGUCAGAGCAAGGUGCAGGAAAGCAAAAGGCUCGGUAGAUGCAAAGCGAUGGGAAAAGCAGAGGUUGCAAAGAUGGGAGAAAAGAUCGAGGAAAGGUAAGUAAACCGGAAGCCGUAAUUUUUUCAGAAAUUACUGGCACCUAGAAAAGAGAGUAGUAAGAAAGAAAAAAACAAGAAAAAUGCAUGCAAAUGCAAUGCGAUUAGAGAGGAGAGGAAUGGCGAGCGGUUGCGGUUGGGUACCCGAAGUUGUUGCUGUUGCCCAGGGGUGGGCAUUGGCAGGACGGUGGCGGAGUCGGUGACGCCGGCGGGAAGCGGCACCGCGGGGCUGCUGCUGAUGAAGUCUGCGCUGGCCGUCCCGGCCGGCGCCCCCGCGGCCGCGCCGUGGUGGUCGCCCGACGAGGGCGCGCCCGGGCUCCGCCGCUCGGACGGCAGCCUCGGCGUGCCGUCCUCGUCUCCGCCGCCGCCGUCCGAGCCGGGCACCGGCGCCGGCGCCGCCGAGGGCGAGGGGCCCAGCGGGAGCGGCGCCGGGCGCGGCGAGUAGUCCGGGACGACCACGGUCAUGGGCACCUUCUCCUGGCGGCCGCCGCCGAAGAAGAAGGCGCACGACGGCUGCGGACGCGCGAGGAGGGAGCAGAGCGCCACCACCGCGAGGAGGAGCGCGCGCUGCGCCUCCCCCGGCCGCGAGCCUCCUCCUCCCAUUGCUCCGCCUGCGCGUGCCACUCGACGCCACACCUCAGACGGAGCAAUGCCGGCCGCGCAGCGCACUACGCAGGAGGGGCGUGCAGCGUCAGCGUGCUCCGAGCUCUCCCUCUGGCACAGUGGCGCUAUUUGGUGGUGGCCUGGUGUUGGUUCGAGACCGUUGCUUGCCCGUGACCUCCACCGUUGGCCGCGGCUUCGGGGUGGGGCGCGCUGCCUGCCGCGGCGCAGUGCCUUGCCUGCCCGGUCGCUGCAGCCUGCAGGCGAGUGCGCUAGCGCAGCAGCAGGCUCGGCGUGGAAAGCGAAGCGCGCAGUGCGAACAAAAGGCUGCGACAAAGCGGGCACCUUUCGACACUUUCUCGGGGCGGGCGCCGGCGGCAAGGAAUCACCCACCAUUCACCAAUCCGGCUAGUCGCCUAGUGCUGCCAGCAACACUCCAUUAGCAGCUGAUUGCUCGCACUAAUCUGCUGAUCGCCGCGUGAAUUGGGAGUAGUUUGCAGUAAUCUUUGCGACCUUUGUGUGGGACAGUGGGAGGAGCAUGGUGGAGGAGUGGUGUGGGUGCGGCGCAGGCGUGCCCGUGAUGGCGGUGUCGGAUCCGGCCGGGGCGCGGAGGCCGGAGCGAGACUUUGCGGGACUCGGAGUGCUUUCUGGGGCCGAUAAUUGUUGCAUCAAUGGGCGGCAUCGGCACGGCCACCGGGGCACGUGCACUCCAGUAUGGUGCCGUGAGAGUCAAAGCAUGGAGAACAGCAGCCUUGCACGAGAGAUGGAGGAUGGGGUCAAAUUCUCGGGAGGCCGUUCCCAGUUUGAAGAGGACCGAAGGGGAUUGGAUUGGAGGGGGUUGGAAAGAACUGCACUACUACGUGCAGUUGGCCAAGGCUGCAAGGGAGGAGCCAGCCACCCAAGGCUUGAAUCCUGCCUCCUAAAAAAAGCCUCCAAAGAAGGCUGGAUCAAGGGAUCCUUUUAAAAAAGGAAAAAAAUAUAUAUUUUUUAUCCUUUUAUUUGUAAAAGUGUAACAUUCAUCUCUUAUAUUUCAUUUGGUGCAAAUCAACCCUUAACGGUAUAUUUAUCAUCCCCACCUUAGUUUAACAAUGGUUUAGUGCCAUCUAAUGAUGAUUUAUGCCACGUAACAAUGGCUUAGCGAUAUAAUAUGUGAGUCGAAGAUAUAAAACUAAAAAAACACAGUAAAUCCUCCAAAUUGCCUAUCUCAUAAAAAUUUUAUCAGAAAAAUUAACGGAACCGAUUCACACCGAAUUAUUAUAGCGAUUGAUUCAACAUUAGAUGUGGCUAAGCAGUGAUUAAUAAAAUGAUGACAUGGCCUAAACCAAUGUUAUAGACACUAAAUCAUUGUUAAACUAAGGUGGGGAUGAUAAAUGCACCGAUUUAAUUAGGGAUGAAUAUCACACUUUUGUAAUAUUGGAGGGAUGAAAAAUACACUUUUUUUUCUUUUAAAAAUAAAAAAAUUGGAGGGGGUUGGGGGAUUAAAUCCAUUACAAGUCAAAAUCCCUUCAAUCCUCUUGGGAAAGGAUUAACCGAACAAGAUCUAACCGCCAUGCUCAUCUUCUUGCGUUUUUAGUAUUACAUUUUUAUUUUACAAGCUUUUGAAGAUUCCGUUUAGAAUUGAUGAGAAAAUCAACAACUAGAGCUAUGCAGAGGUUGGCUCACAAAUAAUUAGCAUCAAUCGAAAACAGUAAUGAGCAUGCCACGUUACGUAGCAACACAACCAAAUUAGGCCACGUUUGUUUCCGCUUCUCUCAGCCAUGCUUCAAUUAUAAUCUAAGCGAAGAUUUUCUCACUUCUUACUUUUUACUUCUUGUAGUUCAAAUCUCUGAAGCGAAUUACCACAUAAGCAAGAAUCUGAGAAAUUAAGCAAGGUGUUUAUUAGUAAGAUUUUCGCUUUAUUUUCACCGAUAAGCUGCUUAUUAAUGAAAAAAAAACAGUGCCUUAGACUGCAUGUCUACCACCUUACAAUACACAGGCACACGCUUCGACCACCAAUGAGUAAUUCUAGAGGAGGGAUAUGAUUUGACCACCCAUAUGGUCAUAUCUAUAUGUGAAGGUAUUCUUCCUUCUUUGUAUUUGAUAUAAUACAAGAAAUGCUUAAGAAGACCAAUAUACCACUUCGAUCUUGAAAUUUCGCCCCAUAAGGCAUCUAUUAUCUUAGUAAUUCAAUUGGCUGACAGUAAUGUCCAUGUUCCCUCUCAUGACUUAGGCAAAAAGUUUCUUCAACUGGAAUACAAGUCUUUUUUUAUUGCUUGUGAGGUUGUGGGUUUAGGUGUUUAAUGUUGAUGUGGGAAAGUUUAGAAAAAAAAUCUCUAAAUCUAAUGAGAUUACGAUUGUUUGUGUUUCUUACUACUCUGAUUCUGUUACGAUCAAAGAAUUUCACAGGUUUGAGAAAUUUUGCGAGGAGUGAAACCUGGCCACUUGGACUUGUGUUGGAUACUCGCCACAUGUGUGCCCCACAUUUUCUUAGGACUUGGUGUCAGGGCAGGAAUAGCAUCGCUCGUGUGUGUGUUCAAGUCAACGGUGUGCGUUCACAUUACAUGAGGUUAGACCUUCAGUGUAGUUUAGAUUUGUGCUACCGUCCAUGCUUUCUUUCUUUAUUAGAACAGAUUUUUUUGAGGGUAUUUAUUAUUAUUGGGAAAGAAUUAUGAGUCGAGAAAAGCGAGAGGCCAAGAAUCAAUCGGUCUUGUUCACAUCACAUGAGGUUAGACCCACGAUAGGCCCAAGAUUUCGCCGGCGGAACCCAAAGCUGCUGUCCUAUCGUGUGGGCUAGCUCCCUCCCGUUCAGAACCUUGCAUAUCAUUAGGCCCAAGCAUAGAUUCAGCCCAAUUUGCUCACUGGCAUGUCAUGGUUUCCGCGUCUAUUUCUGGUCUUUGUCGACCACUGGAACAGCAGAAAAUCAUCCGAGAAAACUGAACACACGCAAGUAGACGACAUUUCUUCAGGGGAAAAAAAGGACAACCAGCCAAGGAUGAAAAUCUUGAGUUCUUGGACGCACCCACUGACACACGCACCCAUCAGCGGUUCUCUUUUCGUCGCCACAUCAUCCUCCUCCCUCCCACCUCCUGAAAACAAUCGAUGGACCCCGACAAACGCAUGAUUGAUCUGUUGAUGGCCCUGCGAAAAGAAUCGAUCCGUGUCUUGUUUAUGCCAAGAGAUCACUGACAAAAAAAGGUCCUUUCUAUUUCCUUUGUCACUUGGGCCGUGUUUAGUUGGGGAAUUUGGGAGGUGCCAAAUUACUGUUACAGCACUGUAGCACACUGUAGCGUUUUGUUUGUAUUUGUAAAUUAUUGUCCAAAUAUUGACUAAUUAGGCUCAAAAGAUUCGUCUCGCAAAGUACAACAAAACUGUGCAAUUAGUUUUGAAUUUCAUCUACAUUUAGUACUCCAUGCAUGUACCGCAAGUUUGAUGUGAUGGGGAAUCUUCUUUUUGCAUAGUGUCAAAGUUGGGAGUUGGGAGUAACUAAACAUGGCCUUGUUUACGUCCACUAGCCGCCGUGCACCACCGAUCGAUGCGCCAUCUGCCGUGGUGAGCCAUAAUUGGCAUGCCUGACCCACGAGCUAGCCAGCCGGACAACGAUCGAGGUGACGCUGGACACAUGGCCGCCGGCGGCGGCGAUGCGGCGGCGGCGGCGGCGGCUGGCGUGGCGAAGGACGUGGAUGCGGAGGUCGUGGUCGUGGGCGGCGGCAUCGCGGGGCUCGCGACGGCGCUGGCGCUCCGCCGGGCGGGCGUGGCUCGCGGCGCCGGCGCUGGCGUACUGGUGCUGGAGCGCCACGCGGAGCUGCGCGCCAUGGGAGCCGCGCUCACCAUCUUCCCCAACGGCUGGUUCGCGCUCCGCGCGCUCGGCGUCGCGCACAAGCUCACCUCCCGCUACGAGGCCUACGAAACGUGCGUUGCGUCGCCGUCGUGUGCCCGACCGGAGAAGUCAAGCUCAAUUCUAGCUCGAUUCGCCAUGUUUACUCGACUGAAUUGUGUCUUUAUUCGCUGCGCCGCAGGUCCAAGGCGACCAAUCUUGAGACCGGAGCCACGCAGGUGUUCCGCUUUGCCGGUAACAAGAACAAGUGAGUUUAUUCAUCGAUUCCUACACAAUUCCUGUUGGCUUGUCACGUUGCUUCUGGUUUAAAACAGUAGCUUCGACUGAUCCGCCUGGAUGUUUCGUUUGCCUGAACCGAAAAUUUGAAAAAAAAAAAAGGGGUGAAGAAGUCAGAGUGAGGGCGCUGGACAGGAAGGCGCUGCUGGAGGCGCUCGCGGAGGAGCUGCCGCCAGGCACCGUCCGCUUCUCGUCCAAGCUCGUCUCCAUCGACACCGAGCGCGCGGCCGGCGACGCGUCGGAGACCGUCGUGCUGCGGCUGGACGACGGCGCAGUGAUCCGAGCCAAGGUACGCUAGCACAACGUGUCCACAUAAACAAGGCUACAUUACAUUCUUGCAGUUGAAUUGCAUGCAAGUGGGCAUGAUUGGUGGUGUCACAGGUCCUGAUCGGUUGCGACGGCGUGCACUCGGUGGUGGCGCGGUGGCUGGGCCUGCCGGAGCCGGCGAGCUCGGGCCGGUCCGCCGUGCGCGGGCUCUCCACCUUCCCCGGCGGCCACGGCGCCAAGCGGGAGCUCCGGCAGUUCCUCUCGCAGGGCCUCAGGGCCGGCAUGGUGCCCAUCAGCGACACCGACAUCUACUGGUUCCUCGUCAACGACACCGUCCCAGCGGAGAAAGACGCCGCCGGGGACCCGGUCAGGACCCUGCGCGAGGUCACCGGCAGCCUCGCCGGCCACAUGCCGGCGGAGUACCUCGACGUGGUGCGCCGCUCCGACCACGGCAACCUCUCGUGGGCGCCGCUCCUGUACCGGAACCCUCUGUCCAUCCUCACCGGCGCCGCCGCGCGCGGGGCCGUGACGGUGGCCGGCGAUGCGUUCCACCCGAUGACGCCCGACAUGGCGCAGGGCGGGUGCUCAGCGCUGGAGGACGCGGUGGUGCUGGCCCGCGAGCUGGCGCGGGCGGCCACGCCGGCCGAGGGCGUGGCCGCGUACGUGGCGCGGCGGCGGUGGCGCGCCGCCUGGCUCGUCGCCGGGGCCUACCUGUCCGGGUGGGUCCAGCAGGGCGGGACCAACGUCCGCGGCGCGCGGGGGCGCCUGGUGAAGAUGUUCCGGGACUGGGUGUUCUACCCGUUCGUGUUCCCCAGGCUCGCCGACACCAUGUGGUUCGACUGCGGCGACCUGGCGCCAUGCGCCGAAGGCAAGAUCCACAAAGAGUGAAGUAAAGGACCGCAAUGACUUACUUGUAUGUGAUGUAUGCUUGUGGACUGCAAGAUUUUACAAUAAUGUUUCAGGUUGUGCGUGUGCUAGAAAAAAGUUUGUGUUUGGUCUAGAACUGAUGUGUAGGAGAUACUCCCUCCAUACUCACAAAGAAAGUCGUUUUGGACAGCGACACGGUCUCUAAAGUAUUACUUUGACUCUUUGUUUUUAUAAAAAUAUUUAUCAAAAAGUGAUAUAUGUAUAGUUUUAUGAAAGUAUUUUUCAAGACAAAUCUAUUUAUAUGGCUUUCACAUUUCCAAACUCAACAACUUAAAAGUUAUUCAUGAUUUAUAUUCCCAAUAUUUGACCCAAACCUUGUCCAAAACGACUUCCUUUGUGAGUACGGAGGGAGUACGAAGACACAGAUGAACAGAUGAUGUCAUCCAUUGGGCAUUUGGGCUACAAGCUUUCUGCUGGAGGUUCCUUGUUUAAUUUGCUUGUGUGAUCAGCGCGCAAGAGAAUGAGAGAUGCUCCUCCUGUGCAAGCAAGAGCCGUGCGUUUCCAAAGUGGCAAAGUCCCAGUGUCCCACAACCAAAACUAAACCAUAAAUAAACAACAAGCGAGUAGAAGCCUGCAUAUUGCAAUUUCUCUCACGUUUACGCUUUGUUUUCUUCAUGGUUCACAAGUCACAACUGAUGUGCAGAUAUUUUAAUCUCCAAUGUGGCAAAGUGCCAUGCAUCGGCUCUGCUAAUUCAUGCGCGUCCUGUAGCAGGGCACCGUACGGUUUAUUUCCUAUAGCAUGUCGGAACCGUUUCCACGCUACCCCGGCCUUUCCAUUCCCCUGUUCAAAUUAAAAAUUACAACAAACAAAAAUUAUAUAUAAUAUUUAUACACAAAAUUGUAAAAUAAAUUUUUAUACAUUUUUUCAAAUGCACAGAUUUGUAGAUAAAUGUUUGUAGAAAACAAAACUUCGAUGAACAAAUUUAUAUAAAAAAUUUAAAGAUAAAGUUUGCAACAAAAUGUUAAAAAAUGGAAAAUAAAUUUGUGCACAAAAUUCUGAAACAAAAUUGUUGGAAGAAAUCAGAAAGAAAAUGUUGAAAUGAAGAAGACCUGGGAUUAGGAAGUGAGUCUAGCUCAACUGGUUAGGGUGAGAGGUGUGGUCAUGCACUCUAACCACCUAGGUUCAAGUCCCCUCUAGCUCGAAUUUGGGUGCCUAUUUCUUCUUCUUAAUGAAAAAUCACCUAGCUCCUCCAAGGUUGAUCUAAUUUUUGAAGAAGACAUGAGAUUCAGGGACACCACGCUCCUCCUAAUGUAUCACAGAGAGAGAUCUAGAAGGGAAUGUAUGAGAGUUGGAUCUAUUGAGUUUGCAGAGAGAAAUGAGGAAGAGUAGAGAAGUUUUGAGAUAUGCAAAGAAAAAUGAAAGGAAAAGUGUGGAAGAAUAGGAGAUAACAUAUUACCCACAUGGAGAGAGUGGUUGGGAUUGAGUGUAGGAGCGAGUCACUCUAAUAGUAAUGGUUGUUUUUCUUUUAGAUCUCUGAAGAGUCAUACAUUUACUGAUUGGUGAUUUUUUUUAGACUCCAUGUUAAUAGACACAAGGCAUGCUAGAAAAAAAAUCUAGAGAUUCUUAUAAAAACUAAAAAAUGUAUGUCAUGAAUAUUGUAUACAUUUAUCACCUUUUGAAUAGUAUCCAUUUAUCUAUUUUGUUUUUCAAAUAAAUAUCCACCUCUACCACAUUUAUCACAUUUAUCCACAAAUUGCAACAAUUAUUAUUUCUCUUAAAAUUAGCGUGAGCAUGGGUUAAUGCACUAGUUUAACAAUUUUGAAUCCGAUUGGUUAUAACUUACAAAAAGUUAUUGGGAUCUAGCACAAUGUAAUUUGUCCAGAAUGUUAUUUAUCAAGCAUGCAUCGAUGCACAAGUUUAACAAGUUUGAAACCGAUAUGUUACAACUUAAAAGCGAGUGGAAGCUCAUAUAAUGUAAUUUAUUUGCUAACAUUUUUACUUCAUAAUUCUCAACUAAGCGUAAAAUACUUAUUCGUGUUAAAUUUUGUUGAAGAUAUUUUUUUCUUAUAAAAUAUAUAGAUGGGGAUUAAACUAAGGUUGAUAAUAACCUAAAUAUAAACUGACACUUAGCAUAUUGGAUAUGAUUUCUUUUGUUAUUAGGGACCUUAGCUUGAGUCCCACAAAUGAGAAAAUUUUUGUCUAUGCACUACCUUAAAUCCAAAAAUAAAACUUUGGAGUCUAAAUGUAAAUGUAUCGUGUUUAUAUUUUUUGAAAAUAUGCAGGAGAACUAUAUAUAUAUAUAUAUUUGCUUUACAAAUAUGAAUAAUAAAGUGUUUACAAUGGGAGUCAAAGGGGAAACUCAUAACCCCUAUUCACUAAAGGCUAGUUAUAUAGAAAACAAAAUAAUUUUUUUUCAUAAAAAGCACAUAUGGUAGGAUACAUAUUGUUUUCAUGUUCACUACAACAGACUAUAAUCGAGCUUAAAACUUUUUUCUCUUCAGUUUUCCAUGUGGGUUUGUUUCUCUUUAGUUUUCUAUAUGGAUUUUAUUCUUAUUUUGAAAAUUUUGUAUGUGAUUUUUAUACCAUCUUGAUGAAAUUCGUUUUUUCUCAGGGGUUGGGGCCAGUUCAAUUCAUGGUUAUUUAGUCGGGUACCUAUUAUUAUUUGCACUUUGAUAUGUUAGAACAAUUAGUACUUCUAUAUAUUGAACUAUUUUAAGUUAGUAUAAAGUCUAUGAAUCUAUAAUUCAAUGCUAAAUUAUGUGUUAUAUUGUAUAUAUUAUACAAUUGUAUAUCAUAAGAUUGUACUACAUGAUGUUAUAUAUAAUCAAUUAAACAUGCCAAAAGUAGGAUUUAUACCGUCAAAAACUAUUUUUACCUUUGAAAUUUCAAUUACCCACUCUCUACAAAUCCCAUGCGGCUCAUGUUUGUUAUGGGAACUCGUGUGUGACCAUACAACUACAACCAACAGUUUGUUCAUUUUUUUCACGAGAGGUGCAGGUAUGUCCACGUUUAAUCCAGUGCACCAAAUUCUUAUAAAGAAGGAGCAUGUCAAAUCAAGAAACUCCAAAUGCGUGUCUAUAUAGAUCAAACAAAAAAGUCUAGUGUUGGUGCUAGCCAUAGUCGCCAGACUCACCGUAGCUAGCCACCAUGGAAGCUUUCACAAAAUCCAAAGGUUGCUUGCUUAUGAUUAGUCCGGCAGCCGUGGGACUCUACACAAUCAUGCUCAAGAGGCGAUGAAGAAGCGAUUAACCAAAACCACCAUGUCCCUCCUAUGGUAGCUAGACUCAUCUUGACAUCGAGGCGAAAGGCCCAUAUGUCCUCGGUAGUGACCUUGACACACUGAGCAAACUCGUGGUGCUGGUUUCCGAUGGCAUCGAGUGGGAACUAGAACGCCAUGGCGAGGUGGUGCACUGAAAGGGCGAGCGAGAGGUGCUCAGUGCAGGAGAUGGUGAGCGAGCUAAAGAGGAGCUGCUCGACUUUGAGGAGGCUCGCCGAUGAGCUGGAGGAGCACGUGUGGUUGUGCACUGCCACCAUACAUAGGGCUAGGGUUUUUUUUUUACCACAAAGCAAGCAUGAUUAGAAAUUUAGAGUGUACCAUUUUAAGUGCACUAAAGUUGAUGUUUAAGCCAAACCUGAUGAGGUGCUUCACAUUUAUGGUCCCGUUUGGUUGCCGAUCGAGACUAGCCUCACUUCACUUUGACAUAUGAGCCUUGCCCUUGAUUAGGACAUGUUAUGCUUAGAUACAACCAUUCAUACUAAAGAUAAGGUGAACUCGUUCCUAUGUAUUCUUUUUAGUUAUUUUGAGAAUAGAUUACUACCUAAAUAUAUUAUUAUAUUUAGGAACCAUGGAGAGGAUCAUAAAAUACUUGAAGAGAGGCAUGAAGGCAGAGAGGAUCAACAAGGGAUGUCCAAGCAAAGUUGGAAGCCCAAUCUACAAGUUUGAGUUCAUCUCAGAGUCCUGGAGUAGGCCACCUUAGAAUUGAUGUUCAUAUCACAUACGGAGUCCAUUUUCAACAUUUUACACAUGCAUGGAAAGCUGAGAAGACACACUUUCCAAUAGGCACUGGUUUCAUAUCCAAAUUUCUUUUAAUUUAAUGGGAAUCAUAGAAAUAAGUGGACGUACAUAAUCUGCCAAGGUGCUGCGUCACCUUUUAUCGGGCCUCGGGCCGUGUACUUUUGCUUGGGACUCAGGCCCAAGUUGUUGUGUGCCCCCUCUAGGAGAAGAGCACCCAAGGGUGCCCUAGGUUGUCCUCCCCCUUGCCUGCCACCCCUUGCCGCAGCCCUAGAUGCUCAGGUUUUGCUUAGAUUAAUCUGCCAUUGAACAAUUUCGCCAUGCAUUGGUGUUUGUGAGACCCCAACUCGCGCGCUUCAUAUUAUUAGCAAUAUUUAGAUUGCAUUUAUCUUAUUCGUGCUUGUGUUCUUAGAUUCACAAGGAGGGCUGAGCCUUCGUGGUAAGGUCAGCUGGGCUGCACAUGGUUGAUAACCAGAGGAGAAGUGGUGCUUCGAUUGUGGGGUUCGGAUCUUGUUGAACGAAAGUCGGAUCGACUGUGUUGCUACUCCAUCAAAUCAAGAGUUAUCCUUACUUGAAGGAAGAUUGGGUACCCUAGUUCCCAUCAGCCCUUCCCUGUACGGAGAGCCAUUUGCCUCGUGGCUCACCCACUGCAGCAAGCAAAAACUUGCUCGUGCAAGCCCCAAGGCAACACCGCAACAAAAGCAAACACGUUUUUUUUCUUGCCUAGCCUAGGAAAACAAGUGGUGGUAUGUCUUCUAAACACACCCUAUGUUUCUAAGAAAGUCAGACAAGUAAGGAAGUAUUAUACAAGGGGAUGUCUACCUCACAUCCAGGUAUUUUUUUCCUUUUUCCUGCACCCAAAUUUGGCCCUUUAGAUCCAUAAUCAACUACCAUAAUGAAUCAUGUCUCCCAACCUUAUUUGCACCCAACCCCAUCCCAUCUAUCUUCUCCUUGUGCGGGCACAUCAGAAUGCGCUACUUGCGCCACUAUGCAUUCUUGAUGGCCCGACCCCAAGCCAACCACCAUCGCCGCGCUCCGUCUUGCCCCUACCAGGACUGGUGAGGUUCGCCGCCGUCCGCAGCUUUGGCAUGGUCCCCAACUACCUCUUCCUCUUCCACCGCCGACUCAUGGCCACUCCCUCUCUAACCUGUCCUGGUGCUCACCCUCCCUCCACCUCCAUGAGCUAACCAGUUAUCCUCCACCACCUACUUCCGGUGGCGCCCACGCCACCUCGCCGCCCCACCAACUCAAACCACCACACCACCUGCUGCUAUGCCUUGCCGGAGCUCCCUCUUGGUCUGCCGAACACUUGUAACCCUCACCCCCAAAAUCCCAAACCCUAAAAGCUUGCUAGAGCUAGAGAUAGAGAACAAGGUAACUAAGGUAGAGUAGAAGGAAAUUAAAUGUUCACCAAAAUUCAGGUGUGGGAGAGGGGAAUAAUGUCUGGGUAUGAUUUAGCAAUUUCCUUAUGUUGCGGUAGAAACUCUCACUUUGGUUCUGAUGCGUGGGGUGCUAUUGGCUUUGUUUGAGGAUAAGUUAGUUUUUUUGACUUAUUCUAUUUACCACUAUUCCUUGACUUCACUGUGAGAAAAAGAGAAAUGAGAGUUUCACCAUUUUUGUCUACGCUAAUGGUACCUUGUUGGAAAAUGAUUCGAGAAGUGAGAACUAGCGACGAAGGGUGCUGUUGUGCUUAUUUUCAUGCCAACAACCUUCUAUCUAUCUAGACAAACUUUGAACAAACGGAAACAUAGAACUUGAAAUUAUUUAUUCAAAGGCUUGACUUGAUAUGAGUAGCAUGGUAGGAAAUACACUUGGUCUCUUUAGGGCUGUAGUCUCUCCAAGGUUUGACUUCAUGAUGAUUGGCUGCGUGAUCAAAUGAAUGAAACCACAUGGCUAUAAUAGAGGUUGGAGGGUUUCCAAAAACUAUAAAGAGUGCAGAGGUGAUUUGCGUCUAGAAAUGAAACUAGUUUAUUACCAUCUCUCUUCUUUAAAUUGAAUGCCAUCAUCACUUUUCCUUAUGUGGCAGCUCACUAAUUAAGAAUAAAACUCCCACUGGGAGUAGCUUUAUGGAUGAUCUUUAUAUCAGUUGAAUUAAUCUGGAUUUUGAGACAACUAUAUAUGAAGACCACUGAAAAAUUUCUUGGAUGUAAAAUGAUCUCUCUCUAACGGUGGAAUCUGAGCCAUUGGAUGUAUAUAUCAGUCCAUGAUAGCUUAAGAUCUAUUAUAUAUUUUCUAUAUCUUAUAUAUUAUAAACAAAACAGAGACCUCAUCCAAUUAUCGAAUUGUAAUUAGUAUUUAGAUCUAGGCUGGUUUGUACGAAAUGUUGGUACCUUCAGAUUAAUAGUACGAAAGUAUAAUUUCAAACAUAGAGAGAUCGAUUAAUUUCAAACAUAGAGAUAUGGAUCCAGUAAAAUUAAAUAUGGCGAAAGGUCCUCUAGCCUUAGAGCACCUAAGUAGCACCUAGCAGGUUUGGGUUCGACUCCCCAUGGGAGCAGAUUAAACAGGUCUGAAAUAAAAAAAUUAUAAAAAAAUAGGUAGGAGUUUCCCCUGCUAACUUCGGUCAAAAAAUAAAAUUAAAUAUGCUAACUAAAUAAUUAGUAAGGGCCUGCUGUUUCCUAAACAAAAUGCUAACUAACUAUAUUUCAAGAUAUUAUAAAGUUACAAAGAAUAAAUUAUCAGCAUUACACUUCUUUCAUACUUUGUUUUAUUUAUAAAAUGAUAUAUUUAGUGUCGAGAAGAUGAAAAAUAUAACAUCUCAAUUUAAGAUCAUAGUUUUAGUGAGUAGAAGGACCAAACUAAUAUCUUCUGGGAGGGUUUAGAAAUUUUUACAUUAAUCUAAAAAAUAAUAUAUCUAAUGGUCUCUAGACUAACCCAAAGAGUUUACAUGAACAAUUGGCCAGCAGAGAGGAUGUACAAGCAUCAUCUUGAAAAAGGCUUAUCCAGCUAUAUUUCAUAAGUUCAUCAAGUAAAACAAAAAAAUGUAUUGAUUGAUUGUGAAUUUACGGUUUUUUGGAUAAAUAAUUCUAAAAAAUAAACAACAAAUCUAGCGGUACAAUUCGCACGGGCCAAAUUAUUGCUAGUGGAAUGGAGCCGUAUAGUAACAGGUAUCACCUUCAGGCCUUCAGGGCAAGGCUUGACAAGUUGACAUAACACAUGCGUUUUGUCCUUUGUAAACUUCACGAUUGUACAAUAUUUCAGGUUGUACAUGUGCUAAAAAAGUUUGUUCCAGGACUGAUGCGUAUGUAAGAGAUACCAUGUGAUGUAAUGCAUUGAUCUACAAGGUUGCGACUACAAGCUUUCUGUUGUGGAUUCCUUGUUUAUUUGUGUGAUGCAAAGUAUCACACCCGAAAUACCAGAAAUUAAUCAAGUUGUACUCUUACAUACGUUUACUCUUUGUUAUCGGCAUGGUUCAUAACAGGACUAAGUUUAUUUUCUGUUAUAGGCAACAUUAUGGAGUUUGUAACGGGAUGAGAUUUUGCCAUCCAAACUUCCCUAUCAACUUCAAUUUGGCCACGUAUCGCUUUAAUUUGAAAUUUUAACAAUGAAAUGGACAUUUAGACUUAAGAUGAUUGUAGCCGGAAUAAUAUUCAGGCCUAGUGUAGUGACCACAAACGACUUCUACUUUGCAUUAUUGCUUUAAAUUUCAUGGGCCACAAAACCUUAAAACUUCAUGAAAAUUUAAAUUUAAAUUCAAAAUCCAGCCGCUCUUUGCCAGUUCCUAGCGGGUUCAUUCUUUUUUGAAAAAAACCUAAAAAAACUUUCGUACUCACCCUACCCAUGCAUAUAAAUGCCUUCAAAAGAUUUGACUGACAGAUCUUAAGAUCGACAAAGUUACAUUGAUCUCGUGGGCUGUUGAUGGGCAAGUUGCCCAUUAUUGAAAGAAUAAAUAGCCAAACAAGCGGCAUCUUUAAUAAUUAUCAAAUCGGAGACUAACCAGCACCUUCGGUCUACACAUUUUCCCCUUGAUUUUUCCUUGUGGAUUUUAUUCAUUCUUGGAAACAUUACCUUCCCCGAGUAAGCUUUUCUCCAACAUCGGAUCCAUCCGGUUUGUUUCAUAAUUAUCACGUGAAUAAGCAAGGGUGGUCAAGAACCCGGGCGCUGGUACAUGCCACAGCCAUCAGAUCGGAAGCUCUUUCUGGCAAUCCGUGUGCCUGAACCACCAAACUGCUGAAAAAUUCCCAUGGACCCCUGCAGCACAAACCGCCAAGAAAGCUUGCACACAACCGAAAGCUCCAGGAUGGCGGCUGGGAAAGGACACAUCUGAAGAAGAUACACGCGGUUACUCGACACGCUGAUGUGGAGUGCAAGAGUUGGUCAUGGAAGAGUACAGCUAGAAACGACCUGAGCCUGAGGAUCAGGAGAUAUGGGCCCUGAUAUCCAGGGGCGUCAGAGAGAUGCAAGCCUUGAGUGGCACAAGUUUGGACAAGCUUUUUGGGGCACUAGUACCGGACAAAGCACAAGAUUUUUCUGUUAGGGUGGUGCUUGCAUAUAAAGCUUGGGCGAGUUGAGGUCCAUUCUAAGCCAAGGCAAGCGGCAGGGUUGCAUCUGGAUAAGAGGCAAACUGUACUUCACUUUUUGAAAAGGAUCAAGAACUUGGUACAGUUCUACACUGGGGCCAGAAGAAGCAAUCUGUUCAUCCAAAGGUGAGAUGGAAGAACUGAUCAUUGUAUUUUCCAAGUGUCAUUAUUUUCUGUAAAGUAGUAUCAUAGAGUCACUUAUCAGUUAAGUUCAAUGAACUAUGUGGUAGAUUCCAAUGCUUUUCUUUGAGAUACAUUUCAAAAUGACCUGAAGAUGCCUGCAAUAUUCCAUAUCAUUAGGACCUUCGCCGAAAAAUUGUGUGCUUUGCAGGAGAGGAUGGAAACGCCGGUGCGCGCGCAAGGACCCUUGAACAUAGAGGAAGAGUACAACAACACUCUGCGGACGCAAUCGAACGCAUGCUUCCUGUCAAAGAAACAGCAAUCUGAGGAAGAAAUGGAGGUUCUUCAUGACAAUCAUCAGGGUCUCAUCUCCCCAAUGCUCCAGGACAUGGUGAUACACCGAAGAACAUCUUCAGAGAUCGAGCUCGCAAUGGCGGGCUACUUCGAUGCCAGCGCCGAGGCCUCGGAGAUGUGCAGGCAGCUGCUCAGGAGUAUCAAGAGCACCCAAAGCAACUACCAAUCGAUGGAGAGCUUCCUUGCAAGCAUGUCAGACGGUAGCGCCCGGGAGCUCGUCAGAAGCAACCCUUUCUGCACCAUGACGCGAAGCAACUUCAGGCAGAUCCAUGAAAGGUACUCCUCCAUUCUCCAGAGCAUCAGGUCAAGCCACAGGAGAGUGAGCAGGAAGCUCCGGAUGGUGAAGGCCAUCAAGAAGCUCUCGAGGACGUGCGUCCUCAUGGUCUGCGGCGCGGCCGCGGCGGGCACCAUCGGCGCCGCCGCGCACUUGCUGUUCUUCGGCCUGCUGAUCGUGCCGGCAGCCGCGGGACUCUGCCCGGCGGCGCUCAGGAGAAGGCGGCUCUCGGCGAGGACGGCGGCGAGGGAGCUGCGGCCCGGCGGGAUGACGUCGCUGGUGCGGCUGCGGGAGCAGCUUGACACCGCGGCGAAGGGCACGUACGUCCUCGGCAGGGACCUCGACACGGUGAGCCACCUCGUGGCGCGGCUCUCCGACGGCAUCGAGCGGGAGAACGCCAUGGCGAGGCGGUGCGCGGAGAGGGCGGGCGACAGGUGCCCGGUGCAGGAGAUGGUGGGCGAGCUGAGGAGGAGCUGCUCGAGCUCAAGGAGGCUUGCCGAUGAGCUGGAGGAGCACGUGUGCCUGUGCCUUGCCACCAUACAUAGGGUUAGGCUUUUGGUGAUCCAAGAGAUCUCGAAGCAGCCAUGGAUAUGAAUGUCGAGCUGGUAUCACUUUGAAUGUAGCCGGAAAAAUAUGUUUAGGAAUGAUCACUAGACAUGCUGAAUUUAUCAACGGAGAUUUUGAGCAAAUUAUUGGGACUCAAGGCAUGCAGUACUUCCUCCAUUCCAAAAUAUAAAUCAUUUAGUUUUGUCAUAAGCAAAACUAUAACCAAAUUUAUAAAAAAAAUUAAAAUCUACAAUAAAAAAUGCACUAUAAAGAUAUAUUUCUCGAUUGAUUCAAUAGAACUAAUUUGAUGUUAUAGAUGUUGUUGAAUUUUAAAAAUAAAUUCAAUUAGAAAAUUUUAAUUUAGGAUAAAGUUAAAAUGUUUGCAUUUUAGAAUGGAGGGAGUAUUUUGCAACUAGGGGCUGACUCAUAAAACUGUGUGGUAUCAAACUGUACAGCUAGUAGCAUGAAUGUAACCAUGCAAUCUUAUCAUCCGUUUAUGUUUUAUCUUAACAUCGCUCUAAUUUAUUUUAUCUGAACGUAAUUCGGAAAUACCGUGCAUGUGCAUAUUAUUCUUAGGAUUUCCCGUUAGCUAUCAACUUUGCGCCAAAAAGACCUCUGACAGAAAUGUUUCUCAAUCAGUUUUGUUGCUUACUCCGCAUUUGUAUGAUUUCAGGUCAGAUUAAGGAGGAAGAGAAAUCUCAAUUGAUCAUCACAAUUACAAAAAUGCAAUUAAAGCAUUCAUUUUCAGCUUAUCGAUCAUCAAGAUUAAAUUAACGAUGAUGAGCGAAGGGAGGGGUAGACUAUGCUGGAAGUACAUAUAUUUGUGGAUAAAUUAUAAAUCCUUAAAAGCCCUACAUCUGUGUACAGAAGGAUAUAUAUUAGUACUUAAGAAGAUUUUUUAGUCAAUUAGAAGCUGAGAGCACUUCUUUUUCUCAACCUAUUAAGGCACUUCAAGGCAGAUCAUGCAUUCACCCCAGUACUCAUUACUUUAAAUUUGUUACGGUUGGUCAUGUAGCUACUUUAGUGUUUACAAGUUUUUAGAGCUUUCAUAACUAUUCUGUAGAUUAUAACAAAUAAUUGUUACAUAUCAAACUUUCCUAAUCAAACAUUAAUGUUUUUCACUAACCAAAUUUACUUCCAUGGACGUGAUAUGUUUUUGACUGUAUUAAAAUUUGGAUCCAAGGAAAAUAUGGUGUGUUUUUUUUGAAGGAUUAGUCUGUCUGGGAUGAUGCGGCUCCGGACGACACCUUCCGGCACUUUUUUGCUGGGUGAUCUGGUUUAGAAGAAAUUAUUUGCUUUCUUUAGUAGCGAAACACAUCAUAUUGAUGGAUGGAACCGUUCCGCGAUGCUAUCCUUGAACAAACCGGCUAUAUAAAAUCAGAUGAUUCCAAAUCGACCCAUGAUGCAAACUAAAAAAAGCUAUUAGAGUCUGAAUGUCAUGAAUAAUGGUUCUCCUAGCUGGUUUAGUGGACAUACGGGCACAUAAAGCUCUGCACCUGCACUUCAUGACACCACAAGUACCAUUUGAUUUGUCUUUCUCCUUUAUGUCUUCAUUUCAUAAUAAUCAAAAUAUGAGAUUUUUUGCUACAAUUAUUGUACUAUUGAAACUACUAGUUUGAGUGGUGCAAACUCUGGAGUAGAUAUGAGAUUGACGAAGUCACAUAUACGUCUUAUUAUCCACUCAUACAUCAUCUACAACUAAAAGAAUAAUUAACUAAAAGUGUGAGUACCUUUGUUGAGCUGUGGACUCAAAACCUAGAUGGAUCAACAAGAACCUUACUAUUAUUAGUUGGAGCCUCCACGAUCCACAUUAAUCAUUAUGGUGAUGUGUGCUAGAAAUAAAGAUAAAUCCAAGAAAUUCUAAAAAAAAGAAAUAUCCAACCAUCAAUUCUAUAGAAUCAUCAUUGACAAAAAAAUAGCCAACGGUCCUUUCUACUUCAAAAAGAUAAACUACCUUUGCCAUUAUGAAACAAAGUAGACUCCUAAUUCUUCAUCUUAAUUUGCCAUUAUGAAAUAAUAAUAUCAGGGUAGGUAGUCUUGAUGAAAAAAGAUCUAAAUUUUCAUCAAGACCACCUACCCCUGACAUUAUUAUUUAAACUACCUACCCUAGCGUAAUACCUAAAUCUGUGCCAUUGUACAAAAAUAUUGCAAAGUACUCAUUUAUAUGCUUCUAAUUUACCAACUUUUGGCAUCAAUGUACACAUGCUUGAUGUGCGUCACCAUGAAUACCACAAAUUAAUGUAUAUAUCGAGGAAGCCUUAGACAUAUUGAUUUUUUUAAAAAAUCAUAACUCAAGUAAAGAUUUGAAUAAAUACAUUCAAAUGCACAUAGAGGUUCCAUGCUAAUGAGAAACUUUAGGAAUGAGAUGGAAAGCCAUAUAGAUUCAUUGGUAAGUUAAGUCAAUCCCAACCAGAUAAAUAAAUUAUAAAGUAUCUAAACAAUUUUGAUUAGUGGUAGUCUCUAAAUUUAUUCAUGAAUUUUAAAUUAUUAUCCCAUACAAGAGGGUAUUUGUUGAAAACUAUUUGUAAAAAACAAUUAGAAAAGACUGCACGCCAACAUAUCGACAUGCAAGCUGGGUACACAAGAAUCACAUCGAUCAUGUGAAAUUGAGUGCAUUAUCACAUAUCGACAUGAAGGAAUCCAUGUUUGUAAUGAUACUCAUGUGAUGCAUGCUUGUUUAUUGCAAGAUUUUUACAAUUCAGGUUGUACAUGUGCUAAAAAGUGCCUCUUUAAUUUUAUUCUAGACUAGAAGGGACGUAUAGGGGAUGUGAUGCCAUGCAACAUUGAACUACGAUUAAAAGCUUUCUGUUGUGGUUGGGGAGGGAUUCUUGUUUGUUUGUGUGAUCAAUACGCAACAGAAGCUCCUCCUGUGCAAGCAAGGACAUUGCAUUUCCAAUGUGGCUAAGUUCCACCGCCUAGAAAUAUACUGGUUGCUGGAGCCAGUUAGUUACAAAAAGCUACUAGGAGCCAAUUUGCAACUUCUGACACGUUUAUUAUUACCUAUGUCCUCGGCAUGGUUCACAACUAUGGAGUUUUGUUUCCAGCUAUAGUAAGGUAGAUUUCUAAACCUCGAUUCCUUCUAAAUCACUUCUGCAGCUCCAUAAAUCCGUCAAAUAAUAAAUUUUGAGAUUGAAUUUCAUAUUUAAAAGCUAAUUAGUGGCGACACGUGUGAAAACUAUUGGGGAAUUUAAAUGUUAAUUUGUAAAACUAUUUUUCCAUAGUCCUGCUGGGCCCCAAUUUUAAAAAACUGAGAUAGUUUUUCCGCUACUUUCAGCCAAAAGUGUUUUCAGUCAAAUUCUAUGCGAAUUUUACAUUUGUAAUCUUCUCCGAAUAAUUUUCUAGAACAUGCAAUCCAUCGGUUUGUUUCAUAUUUUUCACGUGAAUUAGCCAACGUAAAAUCUGUAAAGACAUCUUUCUCAUGGACUCUCUUUGGGUUUCAGGCCUUUUCAUGGACUCUCCUGAAGCAGCAAUGAUGUUCAAGAACCCAGCUGCGGAAGGCUAGGAAAGAGAAGCGGUCGAGCAAGACCUUGUCGUCCUUGCUGCGGCUGCAGGAGCAGCUCGACACUGUGGCGAAGGGGACGUACGUUCUCGGCCAGGACCUCGACACGGUGAGCAACCUCGUGGCGCGGCUCUCCGAUGGCAUCGAGCGGGAGAACGCCAUGGCGAGGUGCUGCGAGGAGAGAUCGGGCGAGAGGAGCUCGGUGCUGGAGAUGGUGAACGAGCUGAGGAGCAGCUGCUCGAGCUCCAGCAGGCUCAGUGACGAGUUGGAGGAGCACGUGUGUCUGUUCCUAGCCAGCAUACAUAGGGCUAGAAUUUUGGUGACUCAAGAGAACUCCAAGCAAGAAUGAUAGGAAAUGUACAUGCACAGUGAAGACUGAGAGGGUGGAAUCCUAGAACCUUAGAACUAAGCACAUUCUAGCCUGCAUAAUUAUUGUGCACCUAGUAUAUUAAGAAUACAUCUCUACAUAUUUUUGUUGCGCCAUCCUGAAUUUUUUACCGGUUUAUGCUUUACCCUUGUCGUUUCUUUUGCUUCCAUUGCUAUUAUACCUGCUACUUAAUUCAAACAUACUCCAUUACAACCAUGUUGCCCCUAAUUGCUCAUAUUAGUUGUGAUCGAAAGCUAUGCUUUCUGUUUGGUUUUCUGAAUUCUGAAUAAAUGCACGUGCAUUGGAACCAGAGAAAUAUCAUAAAUUGAUCAUUUGAUUGGUUCCAUGCACUUCUUCAUACACUAUUUUUUAAUUGAUGUGAGUGUUGUUUUAAUUAGAUGAUCCUUAGGAGCUAAAAAAACACUCUUUGUGGGGAAAAUAUUUGAAGGCUAAAAGAUCACUUAUUUUGGGACAGAGGAGUAUAUUUGAGCACACACUGUCGCCAUAUCUUUGUUCUAUUUUAUUUGGAUUCUGUUUUGUAAGCAUUUAUUCUCCCAUUUCUUUGCUUUUCCAAUUGAAUAACUUUUGGUUUGCAAUCCAGAAGUUACUGUUGGGAUUUUUUGGGCUAACAAAAGAAUACAGUCUCUAUUAUUUGCUUCCAAAAAUUGUGAGUCACAAAAACAUUGUGCCCUCUUAUUUCGAAGGGAGGCGGAUCGCCACUUUUGCCUUGCCCUACAACCACUAUAUUCUGAACAUAUUCAAGGGCACAACGAUCAUUACAACACGAUAGAUGCAAGACCCCACGCGGCCCCGUGUUGAUGUCUUCAUUUUCCCUUUGUGCAGCUGAUUAAAUGGUGAAGCCUCUUCUUGCACCCGCUUCCCAAUUCUUCUUUGCUUUCGACAUCUUCCGCUCCUUCCGGCAAACCCCAGCUUAUUAUAUAGUGCAGCCUUCCCAGCGUGACAAGUGAACCCCUUCAUAGUCAUCUGCUGAGGCUAUUAUAAUUCGCUUGAGUGAGCAGAGCUAUCAUGUUCACUAGGGGAAGCCUCCUUGCCGUCCUUUUCUUCGGAGGAAUCCGAAGCCCUUUCUUUCCUCCUCGCAUGGAGCUGCUAGGGCCUUCGCUUCCAAAUAUUCAAAAUCAAACAAACUAACCCUUUGCCUGCCAGAAACAAUUACGCUCCAUAGUAUUUGUUGAUACCUAGUGCAGCAGAGUAUGCACUCUCUUAAACCAUUUCCGACAUGUAUCCUGUUCUAUAUGUUAAUGGUUUUGUUGGUGUUAGCUGUUACUAGAGAUUACCGAGCUGAGUUACAGUGUGUUGUGGCAAAGACAUCCUUUUUUAGUGGCUUGUGGCAAAUGUCACCUUUUUUCGUCCGCCGGCAAAUUUUGCCUUAUUAGAAGCAAGAAUCUUUUGACCGUCUAUAGCAUACAGUCAUAUAGAUGAAGAACACAUUUCCUAUCACGCUUUCUUGGAGAUCUCUUGGAUCACCAAAAUUCUAGCCUUAUGUAUGGUGGCAAGGAGCAGGCAGACAUGCUCCUCCAGCUCGUCAGUAAGCCUCCUGGAGCUCGAGCAGCUCCUCCUCAGCUCGUUCACCAUCUCAAGCACCGAGCUCCUCUCGCCCGAUCUUUCCUCGCAGCACCUCGCCAUGGCGUUCUCCCGCUCGAUGCCAUCGGAGAGCCGCACCACGAGGUUGCUCACCGUGUCAAGGUCCUGGCCGAGAACGUAAGUCCCCUUCGCCGCGGUGUCGAGCUGCUCCUGCAGCCGCAGCAAGGACAUGCAGGUCUUGCUGGACCCCUUCUCUUUCCUAGCCUUCCCAGCAAUCCUCCUUUUGAGCGCGAUCGGCAAGAGCCCCGCGGCUGCCGCCCCGAUCAGGACGCCGAAGAACAGCCGGUGCGACGCCGCGCCGAUGGCGGCCGCAGACGCCCCGCCGCACGCCAUGACGAGGAAGGCACGCGAGAGCUUCUUGAACGCCUUCACGAUCUUGAGCUUCCUCCCUAAUCUCCGGUGGCUCGAUCUGAUGCUCUGGAGUAUGGAGGAGUACUUGUCGUGGAUCUGCCUGAAGUUGCUCCGAGUUGUGGUGCAGAAAGGGUUGCUUGUGACAGGGAAAGACUUGAGUGCAAGGGGAGCACUCGCACUAGUACUGGCCGUGCUGUCUGUGAUGCUUGCAAGGAAGCUGUCCAUCGACUGGUAGUUGCUUUGGGUGUCCUUGAUGUUCCGGAGCAGCUGCCUGCAGAUCUCAAUGGCCUCCGUGCUUGCGUCGAAGUAAUCGGCCAUUGCGCGCUCGAUCUCUGAAGAUGUUCUUCGGUGCACCAUGAUGUUAUGAAGCACCGGAGGGAUGAGGUCCUUCUGGGUCUCAAGAAGAGCUUCCAUUUCUUCCUCAGAUUGGUAUUUCUUGAACAAGAAGCGCGCAUUGGAUUGAGUGCGCAGCAUGCUGCUGUACUCCUGCUCUAUGUCUAGCAGGGCUGCCUGAGCAUGCGCCGGCAUAUUCAUCUCCAUUAAUACCUCCGCAAAGCACACGAAUUCUCAGCUGAUGUGUAGAACUGUACUGGAGUGCCUCAGAACUGCUGCUUCUUUGCUUGCACUGACUUCGAAUGGACCUCACCUCAUCGGCCCAGGCUUUAUAUGCGAGCACCAUAGCUGAUAGAAGUCAUGUCAUUUGUCCUGAUCCUAAGGUUCAGGCGGUUUUCAGCCGCGUUCUUGCUUGACCGACGUGCUCCUGCACUCCACAUCGGUCGGUAUGUUUGGCUCUUUCCUUGGUGAUUUGCUGCUGUGAUCGGGAGAGAAUUUUUGCGACAGUUCAGGUACUGAGUACGCGUGUUUCCGGAAACAGCUUCAGUUCUGAUGGCUGUGGCCUGCACCAAUGCUAGGUUCUUGAGUGUAUCAUUGCUUCUUCAGAAGAGUCCAUGAGAUGGCCUGAAACCCAAGGAAUUUGGUGAGGUACGGACUUACAGAUUAUGGCUGGUUCACGUGAAAAAUAUGAAACAAACCGAUGGAUUAGAUGUUCCAGAAACUUACUAACUAAAUUGGAGCGCAAGAGCUUCAUGAUUAUUUAAAUCUUCAUAUGAUUUGAGGGAAAAACACUUCUGACUGAAAGUAGAGGUUUUUGUUGUUGCGAGCGGGAAAACUUUCUCUGCUUUUAAAAAAUUGGGCCCCAGAAGAAAUAUGUAAACAGUUAACUUUUUUUGAAUUUAUAUUUCAAUUUCCUGGAGUGGCUAUCCACAUGUGUCGCCUAAAUUUUUAUAUCAAAAAUUCAAAUUCAAAAUUGAUCAUUUGACUGGUUUAUGGAACCGCUGAAGACUGAAGGGAGUUAGAAGGGAUCGAGGGAGCGAAAUCUACUUCUACCAUAAGUGGAUACAGAAUACCUUAGUUGUGAACCAUGCAUGCGAAGAACAUAGCCUGAACGUGACAGAAAUUAGAGUUUAUUGGCUCCUAGUAGCUUUUCGUAACUGACUGGUUCCAGCAACCCGUUUAGUUCUAGGCGGUGGAACUUAGCCAACACUAGAAAAGUACUCUUCUUGCUUGCACAGGAGGAGCAUCUCCCUUGUGCACUGAUCACAAAAACAAACAAGAAUUCCUCCCCAAUAGAAAGCUUGUCAUCGUGGUUCAAUGCAUGUCGUGACAUGUAUAUCCCCUAUGCAUAUCUUCUAGAAUUAAGCAUGCACUUUUGUAGCACAUGUAAAGCCUGAAUUGUAAAACUCUUGCAAUAUACAAGCAUGCAUCACAUGUGUGUCAUUACAAACCUGAAUUUCCUGCAUGUCAAUAUGUGAUAAGGGCCCUCAAUUUCACUCGAUCCGUCUGGUUCUCGUGUUCCUUGUGUAACAUUAGGUGGCCAAAAUUGAACCACAUCGUAUCAGCGUGCAAUCUUUCGUAAAUGUUUUUUAUAAAUAGUAGUCCAUCAAUCCCAGCUUUGGUGCCUUUGAUUGCAUUCAUCCUUGGACCUGUAAUACCGUGCUAACGCAUACUACACCUGAUGAACACAUUAGUUCUAAUUAUUAUAUUAUCACUCAAAAUUACUAAAAUCACAAAUAACGGCUUAUAGGGGCCAUUUUCACUGCGACAUGUAUUCUUCCUUCUUUUAUUUUCAUUGUUUCCAUUUUUCUUUUCUUUGUUUUAUUUGGUAGUUUUUUUGUUUUUCCUUCCAUCAACUUUUCCUUUCUUUGUUAUAUUUUGCCAUGCCACAUGUCUCCAUCAUGUUUACUAAAAAUAGAUUUACUCAUACAGAUUUCCCUUAGCCUUUUCCUUGCUUGUUUCUAAACAAAAUUUUCUCCAUGUAAUGCAUACGAAUAAGUUUUUAUCUAGAUUAUGUGAGUUAAUCUUACUUCAACAUGUUUUAGCAAAAAAAUUAUUUGGUCAUUUUAUAAUAAAACUUAGUUGAAUUAAUUGUUCUAAAAACAUAUUUUGAACAUGUUUCAUUGGAGAAGUUGAGCGAAAAAAUUACAUGUAUAAGUCUAGAAAAGUUUCUCCUAAGAAAUUAUCCUAACAACAUUCUCAUAAAAUCAUUGAGAAGUUGCACUAACUAAUUGUAUAAAGAAGUUAUGUAUAAAAGUUGUGCGAUUGGAAGCUCUCUUGACAACAUUCUCAGGUAAGUUAAGCUGAAAAUUUAUAAUGAGAAGUUGCCCGAAGAACCAAAGUUAUAAUGAAAAUUUAUAACGAGGGUGGAUGCGGUGAGGCUGGCGCUACGCGGCCACUGACCCCGUCUUCAGCCGGCACGGCGAGCUGUACGUGGUGUCGUACGUGCGGCGCGACAUGCUCAUGAUCGAGAACCAGCUGCCGCUGCUCGUCCUCCAGCGGCUCGUCACCUUCCUGCACGGCGCGUCAGCCGCGGUACGUUACGUUCGUCUCGGAGUCGAAUCGAAUCGCAAAAUCCAUGCGUUUCGAUGUGCUCGAACUGAUUUCGUGAACGAAUUGACACCUCUGCUGCAGACCGACGACGCGAUCAACAACAUGGUGCUGGAUUUCGUGAAGCUGAACCACGACUCGCCGGCGGUCACCGGCGGCGGCCUGGCGCUCCACGCCCUGGACGUCUGCCACCGGAGCCUGCUCCACGGCCCUCCCCGGCCGUCCCGCACAGGGCCGCUGGACGAGUUCGUCCCCUCGGCGACGGAGCUCCACCAGGCGGGGGUCCGUUUCCGCCCGAGCCGGACACGGACGACGCGCAGCUGCUGCCUCCACGACAUCCGCUUCCACCACGGCGUGCUCCACAUCCCGGAGCUCGCCGUCGACGACACCACGGGGCACAAGCUCCUGAGCCUGAUGGCGUUCGAGCAGUUGCACGCGGGGCGGCGCGCCAAUAACGAGGUGACGGCGUACGUGUUCUUCAUGGACAACGUGAUCAAGUCGGCGGCGGACGCGCGGCUGCUGUCCGCCGCCGGCGUGCUCCGGAACGGCCUCGGCAGCGACAAGGCGGUGGCGGAGAUGUUCACCCGGCUGGCGACCGAGGCCGUGCUGGACCGGCGCAGCAGGCUCCACGACGUGCACGCCGCCGUCAACGCCUACCGCGGGGCGCGGUGGAACGAGUGGCGCGCCAGCCUCGUCCUGAACCACGCCGGGAACCCGUGGGCGAUCAUCUCCCUCGCCGUCGCCUUCGUCCUCCUCGUCCUCACCGUCGUGCAGACCGUCUACACCGUUCUGCCGUACCUCGACCAGAAGCAACAACAGACGGUGGCCGCCGGCGCCGGCAUUGGCUUGCUCCAGGAACUGUGAAUUCAAGUGGCAGCGAGCAGCAGGCGAGCUAACCACCUUUGCCACCGGGGUCACUGAGCCCCGACAAAAUCCCGUGAAUCCCAAGGAAAACUAUGUUCACUAUCAUUGGUAAUCACAUCGUGCAAGAGUGAUAACCCCGUUGGCCUUCACGGUAUGUUUCGCCCACCAGCCAAUGAGGUGUCAUUGUGUUGGGCUGGUGGCCCAGCCAACAAGGUGUCGUUGUAUGCAUGUUAAGGGUAAUGCUAUGUUGGUCAGUUACCCCAUCUACACUGUAUUUUCCUCCGGGCACUUUCUCUCACGCUAUCUAGAGUUACUACUAUCUUAAAACAAUUACCCUAUAUUAGUCAUUAGUGGAAUAUAUUUCUUCUUGGUUUGAAAUGUUUUUUCUUCAGCCAGAACAUUUUGAUUUCUAAGAAAUAUUUUUUUAUGACUUAAUAGUGGAACAAUUCUGCAACAUUAUUGGAAUAUUUUUAUUUGGGACAAUUUUUCCAUUCAGCCAGAACAUUUUAAUUUUUCUUCAAAAUAUUUUUUAUUAGAAGUUCUUUUUUCCUUAAUUAUAAGAUCGGAUUUUUUUGGCAAAAGACGGUAAUGAAGCAGGUGCUCACAUACACAUACGCACACUAAACUCCCGAUAUGUCUUGAGAUUGAUAGGCACUUUGUUCCGUUGACUACCUAUGAAUCAAUAGUGCCAUUAAACUCCUCAAAUAAAUUCAGAUAAUAUAUAUACCUGUACUGAGUGGAUGACAGAAAAUCGGAGUGCAAGUUCAACCACAUUUCCAGAACUUGUGCUUGCUUAUUAAACAAUCAAUCGUGCAUGAUCUCUUCAUCUUAGCUAAACUAAGUCAAUAGCAAACGACUUUAAGGCAUAGUGAAAAUGUAAAAAAGAUUAAUAGAAUUUUUAUGGCACCAUCAAUUUAUUAUCGCUACUAAAAUAUACCUAGGUGAUUUAUAUACAAAAGCUGGCUAUUAUUUUUUUGUCUUUUUGGAGGACCAUUAUUUUUUUGUUGAUUUCACUGAGCCGUGCUUUCUUUGACCGUUUGGUUGUUGGGAAGCGUUUUUGGUUGCUUCAUGACAUGGGCCUGCUAAUUAGUUUGCUCUUUUUUGUUUUCAUAAUAAGAAAAUAUUUAUUAUUUUUUUCUACGUUUGUAAGUUGCUGGGUUGUUUUUGUUCCUGGGCUUUGGUUUUCCUUUUGGCCCAGUUUGUGUGUUGUUGUUUUCAUUUUCAUUCCUUUUCAUUUUUCCUUUUUGAUUUUUAAUUCGUGUAGAAUUUAACCCUACCGAUCUCAAUAUGUUAUUCUCACGGUUACAAUGAAAUUUAUGUAACUAUUAUAUGUAGAGUUAGUGCAAAACAAUAACCAAUACUUGGGUGCUCUUAAACCAUUUUACCCGUGCAGUACAAGCCACGUAAAUUCACAUUAUUCGAGUACAGAUCAGAACAUCUCGACAGAAAAAUAUACAUAAGAUGAUCCAGUACACAGACACAAAGCAAAUAAAGCGCGGCGGCCGGAUGCGCACGCUUAUUACUCAAGGCUUGAUUUGCAGUUGAUACGGGAACACCGAGGAUCCAGAUCGAGUUCCUAGGUGCAGAUAUCAGUCCAAAUCAAGGCCUGACGCACACGAAUCGAAAGAGAAGAAUCAAGCAGUGGCGAUGAGAUGCUUCGGGCAAACAUGGUUUCAGUUGUGGCCGUGCUUCUUGGCGUCCUUCUUCUCGUGGCGCUCGUGGAAGGCGUAGCCAGCGGAGCCCACGGCGGCGACGGCGGCCACCUCCUCCUUGAUCCGGUGGCCGUGCUCGUUCUCGGGGUCCUUCUUGGCCUUGUGCUUCUCAUGCUGCAGUCACACGCAGGAACAGAUGCAUAUGCAAAUCAAGAGCUGAAUCAUGCGUGGAUAUACAUGCAGUUCAAAGAAAUUAAUUGGAUUACUGCUGACCAGAGCGUAUGCGCCGGCGGCAAUGGCACCAAGGCCGCCGAGCUGCUCCAUGUGCUUGUGGUGCUUCUCCUUCUUCUCGUAGUCGACCUCGCCGGAGCUCUCCUCCUCCUUGUGGUGGUGGAACAGGUGGUGGUGGUGCUUCUCCUCGGCCAUGACUUGCUUGUCAAAGAAAGAUCCAAAUAUAUGUUUCUCUGCAAAGUUAUCAGGGGGGAGAUGAUCGUCGGCUUCUUGGAUGGAGAAACUGUGGUGCCUAAUGGCCAGCAUUUAUAGGGUGGGAAUGGAUGAUGCAAUGACAUAACUACCCCUGCAACUAUUCAUCAAUCACCAUCCCUCUAGUAAGAGGGCAUUUGAGGGAGUGCAGAAGCUAAGAAUAUACAGCGGGAAGGAAAAACUUCACACCAGUUACACGUUUAUGUUUGGUUGGGAGUCAAAGGUGAAGUGAGAUAGGGUCAUUCCUCUUUUGAGGAUGAGAUACUAUCCUAAUACUCCCUUCGUCCGAAAUUAUAGAUCGAUUUGUUUUUUAGAUGUAUAGAUAUUAUUAUGCAUCUAGAUAUAGGGUAUAUCUAUGUGUAUAGCAAAGUAUAUGAAUCUAAUAAAGUUAAAAUGGAGUAGUUGUUUGGUUAGGGUGAUGGGGAGGGAUUGCAUGGACACCAUUUUCGUCUCGUUAGCUGUGAGGUUCCGUUGUCAGCCACUUAGACUUGUGGGGCCCAGCUGUCAGCUACUAAGAAGCAGAGGCCAGCCAUGAAAGCCUUAAAACCAAGUGAGAGCAUGAUUUUGAGCAGUAACUAGAGGGGAAUCCAAACCCGGAGAAUCCCAAGGCUUGUAUUUUCACGCUAAUUGCGCAAUAGAAUACACAUCUGUAAUACACUAUUUUAAAUAGAAAGAGCUAUGUCACGCUGAUAGAAGGAGCUAUUGUAAUGCACAUCUGUAAUAAUUAGUUUCACGAUAAAUCUAGUUACAUCAUCAAUUUUUAUGAUUUUUGUAUCAUGGUCAAAGUUAAAAUAACUUUAAAGUACUUAUUUUGUGUAUGGAGGGAGUACCAUGCACAUCGGUGAAAAUAACUUCCAUUUUCUAUCAAGAAGACUGUGUCAUAUAUUUCGGAUGUUUGAAUGCUCUCUGGCUUCUCACCAGAAGUGAUUUACAAAAUUCUUCUUUGUCAAUGGUGAUUUGUGUCGUUGGACAUGAUUUAUGAUCUUCUACUCCUGUCCUUAGUGUUCCCGGUGUAUGUUUUUUAGAAAAAUGAAUUGUCUCUGGCCUCUACGAUCGCACAUAGCCUAGUUUCUUAAUAUUCUCAGCUCGCAGGCUGAUCACAAAUAAGAAAGAAAAAAUAUGCAGUGGAUAGGAGAAAAUCAAAAGCUAAAUCUAUUAUUUCUUCUCCAUCCAUUAUUGGUAAAGAUAUUCAAGGCGAUGACCUCCAACAUCUUACUUGUGAAACAACCUGCAUAAUCUUUCCUUUGUUCCUAAUAGGAACCACAAUCGCAGUCAAUAAGCUAAUUUUCUAAAAACAACCUGCAUAAAAAAAGGUAAACAGUUUUUUUCUCGAGCACUGGUGAUGUUUUUACGCGGUCGCGUUGGAGCCUGUCAAGUGAAAGUUUGGAGGAGUUCGGCUUCCAAGUUGUGGGCGAGCUUGAAACUAAAAUGUUGAGGAAAAAAAAAACUGUGCUCGAUUCUCUCAUGUAGUGACGUGAAGCCUAGGCCGUGUUUAGUUGGGGAAUUUGGGAGGUGCAAAAUUACUGUUACAGCACUGUAGCACACUGUAGCGUUUCGUUUGUAUUUGUGAAUUAUUGUCCAAAUAUUGACUAAUUAGGCUCAAAAGAUUCGUCUCGCAAAGUACAACAAAACUGUGCAAUUAGUUUUUAAUUUCAUCUACAUUUAGUACUCCAUGCAUGUACCGCAAGUUUGAUGUGAUGGGGAAUCUUCUUUUUGCAUAGUGUCAAAGUUGGGAGUUGGGAGUAACUAAACAUGGCCCUAAUUAGCAGUAGGGUAAUAAACGCUAUUAGCGCUGCAGCUGCAAGCGAGAGCAAACAAAACACCUUUCGAGUACGAAUGUACGAUGCUGCCCUUGAUCGAACAGGUGACCCGUCGACCGCGAUGGGCUUUGGAUCCCGCAUCGCUGGCUGGCCUUGGCCCAGCUCAUCAGUCGUGUUUCCACGGGAACACUUGGACGACGGGAACUCGUGACCGAUCUUGUGCAGGUGGUUGGUCGCUGCUCAUCAUCCUCCCCUGAAUCAAGCAGGGAGGUGACAACGAUGAGCAGGGUGCACGCCAAUGGGCGUACUCCUUGAUGACUUGUAGGUCCUGAUGAUUGAUUUUUUUUUUAUUAUCAUUUCCCUUCUUCAGCGUGUGAUUAGUCAGCACCACACACUUGGCAAUCCAAUCCACAGGUGGCUGCGGCCAGGUGGCGGUCUAAAUGCUCUGCGUGCGGUGCACCGGUGGCCGUCGGCGUCGGACGACGGCGACGCCGCGUGGCAAUAUUGUCUUGGAUCGGUUAGUUUGGAUGGAAAAUCUCCCAGGUUCCUUAGCAUAGCAGGUAAGGAAGGCAUGGUCGCAUGGAGGCAAACGACGUGCCAACCUGCCGGUUAUGUUCGCUUUCGCGGGCUCACGUUCUCCUGAGGACGGCCGGGGUGUGCCGGAUCGUACAGGAAAAAAGCUAGGCCGCUCGGUUCUUUGCCACGGGGAGUCUGGCUGGAUGCUAUCCUAUAUCGGAGCCUGUAUGGGAGUGGCGAGUUGGGCUGAGAACUCUUUCGGGACGGGGCGUCACUGCUUAAGCACUGGGUACAUAAACAAACAAGCAUCUUCCAAAUGAAAUCAUGAAAUGAGUUUUGGUCCAUUUUCUUUCCAAAGGUACGCUCUAACUCAUGCACGAGGAAUGAAGUAGUUUAUUAGCAUGACAAGACUCAAACGUGGACGAAAUUAGCAAGUACGCUCCAACUGAAGCAUGAGGAAUCAAGUAGUUUACUAGCAAGACAAAGCGUAGGAAAUACAAGGAGAGAUGUAUCGGGACUCUCAAAAGAAAAUUGAAGUAUGAGGUUAUCAUGCUAUAAUUCCUUCAAAAUACGUAUCGGGACUUUCUUCUAAAAAAAAUCCAUCAAAAUGUGGUCCAUAUUCAUUUCACACUUAAAUUUCAGACAACGUGCAUAGAAAUAAACACUCCCAUAGGAUUGGCCUCAGUUCUCCAUUUUGCACUUAAAAUUACUACUUUGCUGUUUGCUAAAAAAAAAGGCGUUAUUAUAUUAUCUGCCGCGUCAUUUUACACAUCGCCCCAAGCUCAUAAGUCAUAAGAAGCGAAACAGUAGCUAGGCAGCACACGUGUCAGUUUGAUAAUCAAACGUACGGAUGAAGAAGCAUUUUAUUCCCGAAGUCUCGGUUACAAAGUCAAGUGCAAAACACGUACAUGCAUACCACGUAGAAAACGACGUAGAGAAAUGCACAUGCAGACACACCAACGCACUCUGGCAGCAUGCACCACAGCAUCGGCAUGCAGCCACAUCAGCAACCACAGUCACACGACACACACACACGGACACACGGAGCCGUACGCGCGAAAUUAAACUCCCGGCUCUUCAAUUUAUUCCCCUGCUGCAUGCAAAGCAUACUGCUGGCACUGCUGCAGGAGCGUCGUCGAUCAGCUAGCCGAAGAAGUGGUGCUUCUUCUUCCCCUCGCCGCGGCCGUCCUCCUCCUCCUCGGCGUCCUCCGCGGCCUCCUUGGCCUCCUUUUUGCCGUGGUGCUCGUGGAACGCGUACCCGCCGCUGCCCAGCGCCGCCGCCGCCGCCACGCCCUCCUCGAUCUUGUGCCGGUGCGCGUUCUCCGGGUCCUUCUUCGCCUGGUGCUUCUCGUACUGCACCCACACGAUAUCGAUACGCAUGCAUCGAUCGUCAGAAGAAAAAAAAACAUGUCGUCGGUGCGAGAGUUGCCAAUAAAAUUGAUUAAAGAGCGUGACGGACCAAGGCGAAGGCGCCGGCGGCGAGGGCGCCCAUCUCGCCGAGGUGCUCCUUGUGCUUGUGCUCCUUCUCCUCCUUCCUGUACGUCUCCGAGUCGUCCCGGGAGGAGCCGUACUCAUCGUCGCCGGACUUUUUGUUGUACUCGUCGUCGCCGGACUUUUUGUUGUACUCGUCGUCGCCGGAGGACCUGUUGUACCCGCCGCCGCCGCUGUUGUAGUCGUCGGAGCCCGACUUGUUGUACCCGCCGGCGCCGCUGCGGCCGUAGUCGUCGGUGCCGGACUUGUUGUAGCCGCCCUCGUAGUCGUCCGUGCCGCCGCGGCGGCCGGUGUACCCGUCGCCGCCGCUGCGGCCGUAGUCGUCGCCGCCGGACUUGUUGUACCCGUCGCCGUAGCCGCCGUCGCCGCCCGACUUGUUGUAGCCGCCUUCGCCGCGGCCGUAGUCGUCGCCGCCGGACCUGUUGUAGCCGCCCUCGUAGUCUUCGCCGGCGCCGGACCUGCCGUAGCCGCUGCGGCCGUACUCGUCAGCCAUCUCGAUCGCGUUCGUUACUUGUCACGUUCAGGAGUUUGUUUUCAGUACAGAAGAGUAAGCUGUGGUUGCAGUUGCGCUGUGCCUCCAGGUACACAGCAAUGGCGAAGCAUUUAUAGAAGGGAGCGGCGAUCUCCGAGCUGGGCCGUGACUCGUGGUUAAUACGCUGCACACGUCUUAGUGAAAUACUGAAAUCUGACAGGUAGUUGGGAAUUCUAGUUGAUUUGGCUUAAUCUCGAAGUGCAGAUAUUUUUUGCAGACAGGAACUAGUUGGCUAGUUGCUUGCAUGUCGACAUCAUCUGGUUGGGCCACGACUAAUAAUGGAUGGAUGAGGGUUUAUUCCCUGAAAUCCGAAUCAAUCCGAGCCUCAGAGAUUACUUGCUCAGGAUGCCAUGCCAUUCAGGAUUAACAUGGAAAAAUGGUUUUGUUUCAGUUCAGAAUACAGAACAAAACAUGAGCCAGAAGUUCGGGAAGAGAAUUUUUCGAAGUGCAUAGCAUUUUCCAACAGCUAAAUUUUUCAUAAAUCAGAACAAAGUCACUCUCGUCCAGUUUGCUCUGGCAUUUCCGUGCUCUGAUAAAGUGAAAUAACUAGAUAAAAUUUGUCUAUUCACAUCAUCGCAUUGGGACUAAGUUCUGAACGAGACCGGUGGAUCUGUAAGUCAUCACACCGUUCGUUACCUGAAGUCCUGAACGAGACUAAGUUCUGCACCCAAAGUUCUUUACUUUAUCUGAAAUGUGAAGGCGCCUUGUGUAUCUGUGCCCGCAUUAGACUACUAGUAUUACUAGUAUUAGUUGAGUGAAAUUGCUGUUGUCUGAAGUCACGUACACCUCAUCGUGUGGGAUAGCAUCUAUGAGUUCCUCCUUUGAGAAAGGAGAUUCAAGGUCGUGCCAACAGAGCACGGGCAUGUUUGCAUGCUGAAGAUAGCCAGCUUGGCACUAUAAUUUCUUGGGCAUCUCUAGGUAAGGGUAUUGUUCUAGCCACGGUUUAGUAUGCCAAACUUGUUCCCAUGUAGGCAUAGGUCUCACAUGUCAUAGACGUACACUAGAGUGGUGAUAAGAUUCCCUUAAUUAGGCAUGACUAAUAAGUUGUGAUGUUGUUUUUCCUCGCCACCCGGCUUUAAUUAGAUGAACUUGGCAGACUUCUUUUACAUGCAUACUUUGACAACCUAGAGGUUGUAGACAUGCAUGUGACGCAUCCCCUAACUUGACUAUGACGAGUGGACUAUUUUGUGUUUCAGUCUUUAAGAAUACAGAACGAGAUGCAGAAUCGUGUUACGUUGCAUCUUUCUUUAGGGCAAAUCUCAAGAGGUUUUAUUGAUUAUACUAUGACCAGGAUUACAGUUCCUGAGAUGGUUACCAUACAUCGUCUGCCAACUUGGAAUACUACAACCAGACAAGGUAAAAACAGGAGUGUUCAGUGAAGAGAAUAUGAAAAAGAAUAAAUUACAAAACCCUGCCUAUCUAGCUCUUGGAUUUCAUGCCAUAAGCCUUAAGCCCACAAUCCAGGUCGUCUGUCUUUUAGAACAAAAUACAUAAUUGAUUGUGUUGUGUGUUCCAUAAUACUCUACUUAUUACUACAUAGCAAAAUAAGUGUUGUUUGUUUCAGUGUAGAGAGCAAAAAAAAAACAAAGGAGAAUAUGCCUCGCCUACUACGAGUCGCUGGAUCGGAGCUUCUGCACCGACAGCGCAGAUUAAAAGCCAUCGUUUAUCACGCCCGGAUCAUGUGAAAUGACUAGAUAUUCCUCAAUCGAGUCGAUCGGGUAGAUGGAGGCAGGGCCACGUUACCGCACCGGAGCCCCAACCUUUACCUGAUUUUUUCUUAUGAAAACCUUUACCUGAUUAAGGUUAAGACUAAUUUCUGGACCCCCAAAACGGUCUUAUUUGUUCUGGACGCUAGCACGCCAUGUGUUGUAUAACUGUAUAAACUGUCGUUACUCAACUGAAACAAUCGUAGAAACCACGUGGUACCCUGUGAUAGCUAAGGUGUCGUCGUCGUCGUCCAUGGACCAUGGCUCAGUACAGCAUGUUGUCUCUUCCAAGUGGCGCCUUUUCAUUCAUCGACGAUCGCACUCCCAGCAAUCAGACGGCCUGCGUACCGUAGCUCUACACGUGCGUAUGCUACUAUGCUACUACCGCUUGCCAAAAACCUUACGUGACCGGUUGUCGGCAGAGGUCGACGGAGGCGGAUGAGGGGAGAAGAACCUCAUGGCCGAUGGGAAAGACAGCUUCGCGGUCGAGUCCAUCAUCUGCCUGUGUCCAAGUCGGAUCGACCUCGAUGCCGGCAGGCCGGCCAACUUGCAUGCUCGACCUGGCAAGUAUACGCGGCUAGGAACCAGCGGCGUCUCCGCGUCCGAUCUGGAGCGAGAGAUCUUCUGUGUGAGAUUGCAUUAUUGUUUUUUUUUGAGAGAGAUUGCAUUAUUGUUUUGAGAGAGGAUAUGAGGGAAAGUUUAUUAAAAAAAAGAUAUGAGGGAAAACGAGGGCCAUUCGUUCAGCAGCAGGGUCACGCGUCGUGCUCUGUUUUGGCGCGAGGUUCCCCUGCAAGUUGCAGAGCAAGUGUUCGGCCGGCGCUAUCUGGAUGGAGCCGAUAAUCGAUGGCGCCCCCGGCCCCGGCCCCGUCCCUCGCCGCCGUGGCCGAAGUGGACGGUUGCCCCGUGGGCGGCUAGCACGGCCGGCGCGGCGAGUUAAUGCGACCGCGCCCGUCGGUUGCGUGGUGUCAAGCGCCGUGUCGGCCGGGGCAGUCGCCGGGCGCCGGCCCAGCUCGCGCGCAGUGUCGGCAAGCCGCGUGCGGCGCCGUGUCCGUGUGUGGUCGUGUAGCAGCGCUUGCUGAUCUGAACGCACUUGUCUGCUGGAAGAAUACGCCAACUGUCCCUUGUCUCUACGGUGCGGUCCUACGUGGCUAUUACGUCGACUAGCGUCGACUUGCUCUGCCAGCAGCUCGCGGCCGUUCUCGACAAAGUAACCGCUUUCAGUGAGUUAAGGGCGCUUUCAGUGAUCUGAACCCCUUCGGUUCAGCUGCAUUAUUUGCUCGUACCGACAAUCGACAGUGGAUACACGACGACGUUCAACGACGAACCACAUACCCAUCAAUGGAUGGGAUGGUCCUUAUUUUCGUGAUUUUUUAGGAGCGAUACUGUUCCUCGUGUUACACUAGCCAUACAUACAAUAUGUCCAGAUACAUUUGAAAUGAAAAUGAAGGAAGUAUAAACUUAAAAAUAUCAAAACGACCUACAAAUUAAGAUAAGAUGGAGUGAGUAGUUUCAAAGCUAUGAUUAUUACGUUCAACCAUUACCAUCCCAAAUUUAACCAAACAUAACUAUCCCAUAUUUAACCGAACAUAACUAGCUCGACACAUACACGCCCACAGAACUGGCGAUCUUGACGCUCUGAGUAACUGCAGUGGUUGGAUGUGAGCAUCAGAGUAAGAAUGGCAGCUGCCAUCGGAGGACACAAUUUGCGGAGUUAUUAUAAGUCUGAUGCCAGUGUUCAUUUGUCCACAUCAGAGUGUGACUCCAAAUUUGGUUGAGCAAGCAUACCAGGAACACUUAUACAAGCAUAGCAAACUUUAGUAUUAAUGUAUAUUUACGCACGUACAGACAAAGCAGGAUUACAUAUUGCGCAUGCCAAAGCACGGCUGUGCAAGACGUAGACUACUACAGAUAUACACACCCCAGGCCCGAGCAUAUAACACUGAGAAUCACCUCCAUAGUAAAGACUUCAAGAUGGGAUCAACUAUGCAUACAGCACAUACAAUCCCAUUCUGCAGACAAUGGAGCGGUAAUACUCAGAUAUGUAUGAUCUCGAUCGACAACACACUUAUUCCUUUCCUUGGAAGCUUCUAGUAGUCGUCGGUGUUGUUCCUGCCCGACCUACUCAUCGGAGCCGGACUUGUUGUAGCCUCCGCUGUAGUCAUCGGUUCCUGACUUGCUGCUGCGGCCAUAGUCAUCGCCGCUGGACUUGUUGUAGCCUCCGUCAUAGUUGUCCGUGCUAGACUUGUUGUAGCCACCGCUGCCAUAGUUGUCAGUGUUGGAGGUGUUCUUACCGCUGCCAUAGUCGUCGGUGCUCGACUUGUUGUAGCCGCUGCCGCCGUAGCCAUCAGUGCUGGAGUUCUUGUAGCCACCAUCAUAGUCGUCGGAGCUUGGCUUCUUGUAUUCGUCGCUGGUGGUGGACUUGCUGUAUCCACCACUGCCACUAUAGUCAUCGGUGCCAGAUUUGUUGUAGUCGCUGCUUAGGUCAUUGGACUUGUAGCCACCAUCGUUUCUGUAGUCGUCGGUGCUGGACUUGUUGUAGCCACCCCCGCUACUGUAGUCGUCAGUGCUGGACUUGUUGUAGCCGCCACCCCCGCUACUGUAGUCGUCGGUGCUGGACUUGUUGUAGCCACCGCUGCCAUAGUCGUCAGUGUUGGAGGUGUUCUUACCGCUGCCAUAGUCGUCGGUUCUCGACUUGUUGUAGCCGCUUCCGCUGUAGCCAUCAGUGCUGGAGUUCUUGUAGCUACCAUCAUAGUCGUCGGAGCUUGGCUUCUUGUAUUCAUCGCUGGUGGUGGAUUUAGUGUAUCCACCACUGCCACUGUAAUCAUCGGUGCCAGAUUUGUUGUAGUCGCUGCUUAGAUCAUUGGACUUGUAGCUACCAUUGUUUCCGUAGUUGCCGGUGCUGGACUUGUUGUAGCCACCCUCGCUACUGUAGUCGUCCGUGCUGGACUUGUAGCCGCCACCCCCGCUACCGUAGUCAUCGGUGCUGGACUUGUUGUAGCCACCAGCGUUACCGUAGUCGUUGGUGCUGGACUUGCUGUAGCCACCUUCGUCAACACUGGUGCUUCUGUAGCUGCUGCGAUCAUACUCAUCAGCCAUUUUAAGUUGUGAAGUAAAAUAUCACAAAAAUAAAUUGUAUGCUCAGUUCUGUGCAUCCAUGGAGCAUGGGGUAGUAGGUAUUUAUAGCAGAGAACUAGAUAUGCAGGAGGUUUGAAAGCAUCAAUAGCAAUCUGAAAUACGGGUGGCUAAUAUGAUGGACAUUAAACGGUGAAAGCAGCUCAUUUGUUGUCUAGGUGGAGAUCUUUCUGUGCUCCUCGAGAAAAGACAACUGGACCUGGAGCAAUGCCAUAUGACCGCAAAGAGAAAAAGGAUUUUGAUCCAUCAAUACGUUUCAACCCUGAAAGAUAGCCAAUGCACCACAUAAGUGUUUUUUAUGUAAGCCAAACCACGUAUAAAUGUUGUCUGACGGAAACACACAUGGAAAAUCACAUCUUUUCUUAAACACCAACUGAACUUACUCUGUUUCCACAUCUAUAUGAGUAUCAAAUCUAUGUUAGUUGAUCAGUAAAUAAGAAUAUCCCGAAUAGACCAAUGGAUACUCACAUCAUGCACAAGUGGAUACAGCUGUAAGAAAUUACUUAAUUCAAAUUAGAAAAAAACAUUUAGGAUUUGAACACAAAUUAAUCAGCAGGUUUUUAUAGUUUCACAACAAUAAAAUAUGUCCAUAAUUCUACGAAUCAUGUCAUUAGGACAACACAGUGUUAACUGUGAAAACUUAAAGAGUCAUAAAAACAAGGAAACUAUGCACCACUCAUAUAACAGAACCAUGCUAUGAGAUGAAAAUAGCACAAAAUGCUGAAUACCAUCUAGAGGUUUUGCAGCAUGGUGCAACGUUGCAUCCAAAACCAAGAUCUGAACAGGAUUUUUUCUAGUUUUUUAUCAUAACCACUAGCUUAAAAUAAAUAGGGCCCAACUGUGAAUAGGUAGGCCAGCCCAUUAAUGAUGUUUAAUUUGCUAGUGGUCAGGUCAGGGUUAGCAGCGUCUAGCAGCAAUACAAGCAAAGAAAAAUACUAAAGCAUAUUCCUACAAUUAUUUGUCACCAGAACCUGUCACUACUAUUCUGAUAAUUAAUACACCAAUUCAACUUGCUAUAGCAAACAUCUGUUUCUCAGUGAAAAGGGUUGGAACGUUUGUAGUUGCCUGCAUAAAACAUGCAGUUAGAGGCUUGCAGGUACAGUUGAGUUCUGAAUUGCCUACUUACCUUUAAGUAACUUGACAUAGUUGAUCUGAAAAUGAGUAACUAUAAAGAUAAAGGAGCAAUUGCAAGGCCUGAAAUUAGCCAUUCAUUUGUUUACAUAUUUCUCCAGUUCGCUUGGAAAAAUGGUGAUCCCUGUAGAUAAGACAAAAUCUGGGUAAAAGGUAAUUGCAAAUAGAAAAGAAAGAAAAUUCUGAUCAGACCAAAAUUCACAUCAGGAAAAACAAAGAAGCGAAAGAUAAUACACAAUCAUACAACUCACUAGAAAUUAGAAAACCCACAAUUUUCAUUCAUCUGUAAGGGUCUGAGCCUCUGAGGGUGUUACAAUUUGCAAGUAUGAAUGAGAUCAUUUUGUCUAGUGGAGUUGAAUGAGAUGUCUUUGUUUUAUUCAUAGCAUGGAACUGUCAGCAUGUGACUUAAGUAUGAAACAUAAUUUUUGCUUUUACUUGUUGAUAGAGUUGCCAGGAUGAGGAAAUGCUUUCUAUCAGGUCCAGUUUUGCAAACCCACCAUCCCACCCAACCCUGAAAAUCCCAUCCACAGAGAAGGAAUCCUGUCCUUCAUCAAACAAGCAGAGCUAUUUGUUUUCAGUUCAUUGAACCAAGACAUAAUUGCCCAAAAGUAUUGCUAAUUAUUUUCCGUCACUACAGUCUUGUAAAAAACUCUUGAAUUAUAGCUAGGCUACACCAUUCUUCAUGAGCAGCCAAAGACAUGCAACAUGUAUAAUUGUAUCAUAAUGAUUUGAGAGUAUCUUCCAGACACAAAUAGCUAGCUUUUUCUAGAUGUUUAAACAAAAUAUUUUGCACCUUUGUUAAAACUGUCAUGGCCCAGCUUCAUAAUGAUUCCAUUCAUAACAAGAAGAAUUUGCAUCCUAACCAGAAAGCAUAUGCAUCCUUUUUACAUAAUGAGAAAAUAAAUGUAAAACUGAACCAAGGAUCGACCAUUAUGGAAUGAUAAACUAAUUAGUCUCAGACAGUCUCAGAGCCCACUUUCAGAUAAACUGCUACAUAGAUAUAUCAAAGGACAAAUGUUAAGCAAAGCGAAACCACAGAAGUAUGAUGUUAUCUGCUCCUAUGAAACCCAUCUUUAGCGGCUUUUCUUCAUUAGAACAAAGAGAAUGGUACAAUGUAAAUGACCCAACUUCCCAGUAGGAAAAAGUAUAUUACAGAUAGACUGAGCUUUUGUUAAAAGAAACAAUGGGAUUAACCAUAAACCAUCUAGAAACUAAGAUCAACAACCAUUGAUACUUGAAGCAGAGCAUAUCAAACAUCAAACUAUGGCAGAUAAUGACUACACACUUUACAAGAACAGAACUAUGCCAACAAAGACAAGUCAUGUGUAAAUCAAUACCUUCAAGUAUAUCUUUAGCAAGGUCUGCCAGAUAAUGUUGCGGGCCAUAGCAUAUACUAGUGAGAUAUUUGCAAUAGGUGACACAACAAAUAGCCAAACUAAAAAUGCACUCUUUCUGUUCCUUUGUGAAAGAUGUAGGAUCAUGUGCAGAAAGAUUGGCAUAAUUUUCCUCCGGAAGGAGAGGCUGGUGUAUUGAUGUUCCAAGCCAACUGAAAUCUAUAGGAUUCUUGAUCUUUUCCAGGCAGGGUAAACCUUGGACUAGAAAUGACCAGCAAUGAAACGACAAAGAUAGCAUUUGUUUGCCAAACCCUUCACAAGUUGAUCUGAACUCAUUAUACUUCACUAAAUCAUGUUUUGCAGAACUUUCUGGACAUGAAGGAAAGGUGAACUUAGCCGCAGAUAAAUACUGCCUCAUCUCUCCCUUCAUAGAUUGAACAAGAAAAAACAAUGACUGCCCAGCACCUAUUAAAAAAUGCGACAGUGGCAUCAUAAAGGAACAUUCAGAUAAGAACAGAUGGUUCGUAGCUCCAGCAAGUACUAAUGAAUAAGCUGCUGCAGCUUUGGCCAUUCUAAAAAGAUCAUCACUUUUUUCUCCAUGCAAACUGCCUGUUUUUAAACUUAGGGCACGAAACCGGUAAGCAGAGGCAAGUGUCAUGUAAGCAGUGAAACAGAGAUGGUGAAGAGGGUGCAGUAUAUGUUUUCUCCCUCGAAGUUCCCCUUUCUGCAAAUCUCUCAUUAAGUUUUCAGAAAGCAUGCUUUCAAUCAUAUCACAACAAGCUUUGGCAUCAUCACCCAAUGAGUAUUCAGAUAUUGCUUGUUGCAAGUCAUCAUCCAAAUCCUCAACUGUUGGAGCUGCAACAGCAUCCUCUGGUUUAUUUAAGUCCCUAGCAUCACACUGAUAGAUAGUCACGGAGAGAAGUGGUCAAGACAGUUUGUUUUUUUUUGGGCAAAAAGUGUAAGUGUUGACAACUAGGAACAUGUGCAAUAAGCUAAAAAUUCUAGUAAAAGUAUAAAAUGGGCUAAAUAAAACAUUGGUGUCACUAACUGGUGAAAGUAUUAUUAACUAUUUUCAGAGAAAUUUACAACACAGCAGCCAAGCUAUGGAAUUCAAUGGCAGUUUGCUAACAGUUUCCAUAACACUCCAUGACAAUGUGAUUGGAAAGUUUUAAUUGCUUGUGAACAUAGUGCCAACAAUAAAGGAAGCACAUGAAAAAUUGCAAAUAAAUUAUGAGAAUAUUUUAUCCCAGAUUGCAUUCUUACAUUCAAAAUAAGAUCCACAUAAGGUUCUGGUGAUGCUAUACAACGAUUGCAAGAACAAAUGAAUUUAUACUUUAACCACAGAUCCGAAUGCCUUGCUUCCUGGAAAGAGAUGUUAUGAGCAUGACAAGAUAAGUGAAUAAAGAAUGAAAUGCAACCAGUAGAAAAACUUCUUUUCCUCUUUAUUGACAUUGUAUGUUGGACCUCGGAUUGGUAACUACUGAUAAUUUUAACCAAGCUUUACUAAAACAAUUAAUAUGCAUUAACUAAUCAUUAGUGGAAAACACUAGUGAUGUGUAUGCCAGCAUACACCAAAACAUCAAAAGAAAAAAGGCUAGCCCAAAUUUUGUUUUCCUAUGUGAAAGUGGGGAGAAUUGGAAGACAAAUUGACAACUUUGUUUUUGCACACGCAAAAGCCUUGUCUUUAUAGAACAGAUGCAAAGAAACAUUAAAUUUUACACCACAUAGCAGGCCGAAGCGACUGCUAUGAAGUUAAAGACGAAUCUGGGAAAAAUGCUUAAACUAGUAUGCAACAAAGUUUAACAUGACAUGAGAAUUUGCAAAUGCAGAAUACAUUAGUAAGCAGGUAUGAUUGUUCAAGUCAAUAUAUAUCUUUUGCAUCAGCAGUGCAUGACUAAUAAGAGCGCCAUAUCGAAUAUUAACAACAGUGGCUCACAAGAAACCACAAUAACAAAAUUGAGUAAUAGUGUUAUAUGCUUGAAUUGGUGAAAUAUCAGGUGCACAAGAGUAAUACCGGUGAACAUAUGCACAAACUAAAUCUCCUCCCUCGGAUCCAAUCUGAAUGGCCCAAGUGACAGGUGGAAAUCACCCCAUCCCCUUGUCCACCUUUUAAUUGGACAAUCUAAUUGGGCCCUAUGUUAGCCCAAAAGGGAUAAGAGAACUUCCACCUCCCAUGUAGGCCUCUCAGAUUAGGUUCAAGAAACAUUAUUGAGUUUGUGCAUGUGUUCACCAAUAUACUCCUGUCCAUCUGAUAUUUACCCUUGAUAAUUUUGUUAAACAUGGAAUAACAGCAGUCACCAUAUCAAAAUGAAUUAGUUACGGGCCACCAACGUUCUAAAAUUAAGCACAAAAAGAAUAAUGUAUGGCCAUCUAAGAAACUAAAUACCGGUGCAACUAAAAGUCACCCAAAUAGCACACAUUACAAUGCAUUGCACAAGUUAACCUUGAUUAAAUUCUUCAAAAGAAUAAUGUAUGUUCAUCUAAUAUUUGAUCCUGAAUAUAUGAUAGUGACUGACUUAAUGUGUUGGUAAAUUGCAAAUAUGGGUUCAGCAAAAUUCGACAAAAAGUACCUUGGUCUGGAGAAGAUCAAUGUAUGUUACGCAAACUUCAUCUCCCUUGAUAAUUGGUUUUGUGCAACGAACAACAACUCUGGGACCAUAUUUGCAGAGUGCUAGGAAAUAAUUAGUGAGAAAAAGUUUAGAAUGAUGCAUUCAUAUAUUGCAACAUAGUCAAAAAUAAUGAAAUACCUUUGGUAGAAUUUGCUUCCUCAUACUGCCAAGUAUGCCACUGGAACCAAUAACAAACGCAAUGAUUCAAUGUACAAUAAUAAAGUAAUAGCUCAAGUAAAGAAAAUAAGUGCUUUCCUAGAAGCUAGAAACCAUGCAGCCAAACUAUUCAAUUUUCAUAUAAUUAGUAUCUUUGCAAAUACUUGGAUCUAACGAACAAAAAUAACAGAAUUAGAUCUUACUCAAAAGAUACUUUCAUGAUACUUUAUUUUAUCUGGCUUUAUGAAUAUAUUACAACAGACUGAUGGCUAAAGGUGUGUAAGGGAUCCAUGUCCAAAAGGACACUUACAGUGAUGAGUGACCUGAGUAUAAGCAUUCGAUUAUAUUCUCUUAGUAUAUGAUGCAAGCAAAAGUUCAUCAGGUACUAAACAAAAUGGUAAUCAGUUUCCUUUACCACAUCAGCUGCAACUCCUUUGCUAGCAGGGACUGCCCAUGAUUUUGAUUUGUGUGAAAUACAGUCUUCAUUCUUUGGAGCCAAUACAAACCGGUACGAAGCAUUGGGAAAGCAGCUAUGGUUGAACCAUGAGAAACUUGGGCCAUACACAGAAAUUCCCAUUGCCAUCCCUUCACUAAGCUGUACCUCAACACUAUUUGUAAUCACUGCCCAUAAUGCCAUCCUCUCAACUUUAAGCCCAUCGGAGAAGCUAACAUAAGUCUCUGCCCUUGAUUUUCUAGCAGAUGACAUCAAUAAGCUCCCCUCCAAUAUCCUCUCAGCAAUCUGUUCCCCUUCCUCCAGAGCUUCUUCAAUUCCACUUGCUGAAAGUCCACCAAUUCUACUGAAGCGGUUGAUUUGAUCAGAUGAAACAAGACCGUGCAUCUCAAGCGCAUAAAGAAGGCGGAGUGCAGCACGCAAAUCACUUGUUCCUUCAGUAACAUAGUUAGGGGAGGCUCUCUUGAGGUGCUCCACAAAGAAGCAACAUUCACCAGAAGAAUAAUGCACCAGUGAAUCUGAGCUUAAGCACUCUGAGCAGCAGUAUCGAACAGAGCAGCAUGUAGUGCAAGACAUGACACAGGGAGAUUGUGGCGGUAAUUCGCUGAAGCAUGAUGAGCAAUGGGAGUGGAGGAACACGUCAUGUAGGGCGAUGGCGUAUGGUGCGAUUGCCCCAGUUAGGUCCUCCGACAUGUUUACAGAUUCCCGAGCCCUCAUCUCCAUUGCCAUGCUUCGAAGCUUCCUGACCUGUUACGAGGUUCUGUCUGCAAAUAGCAUAAAAAUGAAAACUUUAAACAAAGAACAGAACUUGGUAUUUUCUUUAUUUCUCUUUUUAUUUCUCCUUUUGAAGUAAGUUGUUUCCACCUGAACAUCAAUCUUGUGCACUCACGCUUAUCAGACUUAAUUCAGGCCCAACAACUUGAGAAGAUAGCCCAAUGCUUAUCAAAAGUGAACUACUUGAUGUCUUGAUCCAAAAGUAAGCUAACUACGCUACCUGAUGCAGUGAUGCUACAACCACCCCAAACACGCGUAAAAUAAAUUCCAACUUUUUUCCUCCAAAAUCCAUAGAUUCAGCGAAAGAGGAACUGAAGCAAACUAGAUCAGGCAAACCACUACAGCAUCUAUAAGCAGCGGUUGUGUACCAAAAACUGAUAAAUGCACAGCUGAUUUUUGUCCCAAUCCACCAAUGGCGUCGCUAACUAACUUAGGUCUAGAAACACCAAACCCUUUCCCUAACUAACUUGGGAGAGGCUCUACUUGCCUUUGAUCGAACGCAGCACCAGCACCGUCCACGGACGAGUCUGCGACGGAGGCGGAUGUCAGGAUGUGUAGAGGAGAGAGGAGAGGGACCAAGGUAGCGGCGGCCGCAACCCCCUUUUCGGCCGCAGACUAGCAGUCUCGUUGGAGAGACAGAGACGAGAGAAGAUGGGCCGCGAGAGAAGCUAGGCCACAGCCCACAUCUAAAUUUCAGAGAAGCUGGGCCACAGCCCGUCUAAUUUCUAUUAUUUGUACGGCCCAUCUAGUCCUGGUCAUGAAUAAACUAGGCCCGACGAGCCCGUCCAUGAUCUGGGCUGGAUGUGAUCCUCGCAGCCACAACACUAACAAUAUAUCUAAAUUCAAAAACACAAAUGUGCAGCAAAUUCAAAUCAAAAUUUGAUAUAUAAACACAUAUAUUACUUUAGAAUGUUGACAUUAAUUUGGCAGGGGCCGCGCGAACGCGUACCCCCUCUUCCACAAAUUAUGACGUCCACUCUCCCGUUUAGGAAGAUGGUAAGCCAAUGCUCCUCCCAAGUGCAAUGGAGGCCAUUGAUUUAGGCCAUAGCUCUUCUUGAUCGGCUAUCGACCCCGUCCAGGUAAGUGAGUUUGAAGGUGCCCCUUGGUAUUGCUUUAUUGCUCCCCAGCAUCUUCUCCCGGUUUCGUUAGCCGAUGCGGUACUAUUGCGUCCGCUAAACCGGUGGUCUGCGCCUUGUACUAAUUGCGCGGUCAGGACUCAUGGUGUUCGUAUUGGACAAGGCCUAUAUCUGCAACUCUGUCAAGGCCCAAGCUAUCCCGGCCCGGACGAGCAGCACAAGGGGCCGUUCUGUCCGGCCCAGGUAGAAAUUUGUGAGUGAACCUAGCCAACCCACACGGCCGCAUUUUUUUUUAUGUGCUUUUAGUCUCUUUAUAAACAAGUUUCCAGCAACAAAGACGUGCAAUCUCAACCUACAGAAACCAACGGUACAGCACAGGAAAAUUCAGCUAACUUCCAGAUUCAGGGGCUUCCAACAAAACUUCAAAUCAACCGUCGCUGGUCAUUGUGAAAGCAAUGAGAACGCAGGACAAGGUGAAGAUGAUCGUCCCUGCGGCGAAGGCCAGGAUAGCCCUCUGGGAGAAACCCUGCUUUUCCUGGCCAGCCAGCUCGACGUCUUUUAGCAGGCCCCUGCUUGUCCGAGUCCUUGGCGGCAUGGACCAGCCUGCUCUGGACCUCAUCAAGCUUGGCCAGACAUCUGGCUCGGCUGGCAUCUCAGACGGACCAGAUGAAGCCCGUCAUCCUCCACAGCAGGACGCCUACGUAGAUCGCCACGAUGCAGUCCACGCUGUAGUGGUGUCGCUCACGUAUCUCCCUCUGCGCGCUGUGCAGGACGAGGAGCCAUAUCGCGACGGAGAUCCAGCCCCCAUAUGCUUCCUGUGAGCGUGAAACAGAUGGAAAUGGAGUUGGCUUGACUUGAAAUUUAGAAGUGGUUAAUAUGAUAUGUGAGGAAAGGUAGUAGACAGAUCAGAAUGAAUUGGUGGCCUUUGAAAGGUAGUUUGGUUUCUAAUACAAGAGGACAUAUGGAAAGCGUAGCACAUACCGUCCAUGCCAUUGCAGUAAGAACAGCAACAAGCAUGUGUCCACUGUACAUAAGGUCAUUGCAACCACCACUAGCUUUCUUCAACAGAUGGUACCAUGAUGGACCUUCUCCAGGAAUCGGUCUCAAAAUAUCUACCAGGAAGCUCAUCCGUCCCCAGUCAGGCCUAUAUUCAUCUGGAUAAGCUUGAACAGCAGCUGUAAAAGUAUAUAAGAAUACUUUAGUCUCCACCACCGUACAAAACUGAAUAACUGAUAUACCUGUUAGGUGAUAUGACAAAUGAACUAACCAUAUGCCAUGUCAUGAGUUAUGACUCUACGAAUAGCAUUUGAAUCAGAAGCAUAUGGAACAUAAUAUUUUUGUGCCCAAGGAUGAGGAUGCUGAGGUAUUUGAUAACGAGCUGCAGCACACCAUGGUCUUGCAGAUGGAAGAAUAGUAGCAAUGAAUGUUAUUGUCCAAAGAAAACGACCAAUUGCCAUAGUGAACAUAUAUCUUGUGGCUAUACCAAGACCAGGAGCUUUGAUGCAGUCAAACAGAACUGAGAACCCCAGCAUGAUAAACAACAUCAAAUAAUGGUGAAGAGUGAUAACAUGAGCUGAGUAGAUUGACAAUGCUUUGAGGGAGCUUCUCGUUCAGUGAUAGAAGCAGCCAUUGACCAGUGUCAGGAAGCGGUGCAGCAGAUCUGUUAAAACCAGCAGACUUUAGUUUACAAGAAUUUGUGUAGAUUUAGAAUUCAAGUAUGUAUAUGUGGACCAGGAGUGAGUGCACACAACUAAACUACAUAGAGAAGGUCGAAGUUGAAAAAGGCAGUAUUGCUACUGUCUCCUUAUCAGUGGGAAGCCAAGCUCUGUCCUCUUGGGGUCCUCUUGAGUGGAGCUCUUAUCUGACUAGAAAGUCAUUCAAAACUUUAUCGAAGAACCAGCGUUUAUCGAAGAAGCCAGUUUAUAACCCCUAAACAAAAUAGGAAGAGGAGUACUUCACUAUACAGAGGCUGGGUUGUGUUCACAAAGUAUCAUAAAUGCAAUAAUAAAUUACAAUUAGAUGUAAACCAUGGCCAAAUAAACUAGUAAAUGUGAGAAUCCCAUCAAAACAGAGUUGUCUGAAUUUAUUACAUGUAUUAUUGCUAGCAUAGGACUAAACUGUGUUGGGUUAGAUUUUGAGAGCAAUGCAUAUGCCUAAGGAAUCUACUAAGCCCCAACCUCAAGUGAUGAUUAUGCCUUCCUUACCCACUAAACUUCUUGAUGCUCCUAGUAUAUCCCAAAGAUAAUUGAUGCUUUACUUGGACUUUAAUCAUUUUAGAGUGACAAUUGCCGUUAAAUCAGAACAGGAUCAAGCAGUCAGUUAUCACACACUCACAAUAUCAGCAGACUUAAUCUAGCUAGUCAAUAGCAACAAUGAAUCAACAACGUUCCAUUUAAACAAUUGCACAGACGCCUGUCACCACGAAUGCUACUUUCUGCUGCAAUCAGCCUAUUGAUGUGUAAUCCUAGACAAUAUUUUGAGCACGUUAUCUUCUAUACCAAUACUUUGAGCAGUUUAAAUCUCAGCCUCGCAGCUUCAACUAUUUCGCACACUCACUAACAAAACCCCCUAAAGCUCGCCAAUACAAGCAAAACUCUGCAAGAUCACACCAUAUUUCCACGAAUAACUCUAAACCCGUAUGUUUCAACACGACCUACCAAAACAAAGUUUGCAGCUCAAAAGCUAAAAUCUCUCCGAAAUCCAGCGAGCCUUGGCCCCCAAAGCACCUCAAUAGGUGAGGAAAACGAUGACACGCCGGCUGCGCCCCGGUUCCCCAGAAAGACAAGAAGCACCGACCUGUGCCACUGGAGCCCCAUUACGGCGGAGACGAAGCGGACGGAGAUGGCUUCGCAGAGGAAGGCGGCGAGCAUGAAGGCGAUGGAUCCCAGGAAGGGCAGCGCGGCGCGCAGCUCGGCGGACAAGUGGCGAUAGAACGGGGCGCGCGCGGCCGCCGCCAGCGCCAGCGCCGCCCAGAGCGCAGGCUGCAGCCGGUCGUGCCACGCCGGCGAGAGGUCCACGCCCACGUACGCCAGCACCGCGAUGCCCAGCCCGCCGAAGUCGAGGAGCCGCCGGGUCGAGGCCUGCGGCGGCUUCGGCCUCGGUGCCCUCGCCUUCGCCAUGGCCGGAUCGCCCGCGAGGGUCUUCGAGAGGUCACUUGGUCUGGUCAUGGACUGGUGUCUAGGCACGCGAGUGGGUCUGAUUUAUCCUCCCAAAUUAUGUACGUAGAUUCUAAUUCAUUUUAUUAAUUUUUUGAAAAUAAACCAAAAUAUAUAUAAAAUAUAUAUAGGGCCUGGACUUAUAAGCCAGCUGAAAAGUUGAAACGACUAAUUUACUAUGAGAGAAAAGUACUGUUCAGUAGCUGAUAAGCUGAAGCGAACAGGGCUAUAACUUCAUCCCUGUUAGUGACCGGACACCGGAGCGGGGGACGCUCAAAGCUAGGAGCACCGACCUCCGAGUGCUAUGUUGGGCUUGGGUGGGCUCGGGCCCGAGCCUACACAACCAAAAACUAGAUUUUACGGGUUCGAUUGGUUUGUUGGCAAAAUUUUAGCAUGCCAACUCACAUUGUGACAAUUAUUUAAGCACCAUAGAUCUCGUCAAAAUCUAUGAUUAUCGUAUAAAGUUUAUCUUCAUCUAAGUUUACAUAAAAAAAUUAUAAUUUUUUAAUAUAUGUGCUACUUAGAGAAGGAAAAUUCCGCAGAUUUAAUUAGCGGUAGGGUGGGUCCAAGUUAAAUUCCACCAUUUCAAUUGGCUAUAUCAAUAUAGAUUUGCAAUUUAUAUUUUUGCAAAACACUAAAAUAAAAAUAUAAAAAUAAAAAAAUCGAUAGGCGGCUCCUGCACUUGACAUCAGCUGCUUUUGAGCUCCUGCCGGUGCUUUAGGCCUACCACUGGAGAGGAUAUGGGCAAACCUACGUUUAUUCACACUCAAAUCCAAAAAAUUAUUAUCCACUUCUUACCCUCCCCAAUCCUACCUAUAUCUAAUAGAUAAUUAACUUUAUGCAAUACCCUCCCGAUACUCUACCCUCUCCUUUUUAUCCUUUUAAAUGGGUAUAUAAUUUCUACCAUAUCCUUCCCAUCUUAAGUGAGCGUAGAUUUGGAAAAAGGAUACGGAUGCCCAGUGGCAGGCCUACCGUGCUUUGGGCGGUAGGCCUCGUCCGUCGUCGUCGUCGGUCGGCCGGUGGGCCUCGCCGCGCGUUCGUUGGUGGUCCGGGCUCCUCCUGCUGUGUUGUCAGGCCCAACCCCAACUGCCGUUUCUGUUGGUGGGCUGGCCCAUCAAGAGCCCAACUCCGUAGCCAUCAGCAUCGCUGCUGCUUGUGCUUCUCCGGUUCUCCCCAGGCUCCGGCCGUUUCCAGACUUGCAGCCGCGCCUGCGCCGUCUCUCUCGGCCUCACUCCCAUAAACCCCCAAAACCUCUCCCGGCGGCGCCCCCAGCCCGCCGCCCCCAAUGGCGGUGGAGAAAUCCGGCGGCGCUGCCGCCUCCUCCUCCUCCUCCACCGCCGCCAUGGACCGCUUCCAGAAGAUCGUCCUCAGCUGGGACUACCUCCGCCUCGUCGCCGAAUCCAAGGUACACGCAUCGACCCCGCCCACGCCCACAUCCACCCGCCCGCCGAACCACCCGUAACGACGAGCUUAUCAAAAACCCUAACCUUCUCUUGCUUUGGGGCAGGGAGGCAAGCAGGCGAAGGGGCUGCAGCGCGUGAAGGACACGUACAAGUCGGUGGCCGACUACCUCGGCGUCUUCGAGCCGCUGCUCUUCGAGGAGGUCAAGGCGCAGAUCGUCCGGGGGCGCAGCGACGAGGAGGAAGAAGGUAAGGGCGCGGGCGCCUGGGCUGCGCUGCGCUUCUCUCUCGCCGCCGCCCGUUGUUUGCUCUGAUUUCGCUGGUGGGUUUGUUAAUUUGGAUUCUUAAUUCGUGGCUUUGCCUCGUGUGGGUGUAUGCAGAUGCUGGGCUCGACUGGCAGAGGGUGGCGGUGGGCUUGUGCGCGGAAUCCGAGGGGUUCCAUAAGUUCUCCAUGGCGGUGGAGAACGAUUUUCGGGAGAAUGUGGGGGAGAAUGACCUAGUGCUGCUCUCCAAGGAGAAAGUAAGUGCUGUGCAAGUAAAUUCGGCAGUUUAGCUGGUCCUUUUAUGCAAGCAUCAAGGUACUAACUACUGACAAUUUGAUGGGAGGAAAUGUCUCGUAAGUCAAACUAUUUUGUUAUAUAAAGUCAAAACUAUUGUUUGGUAGGUGGCUAUGUGCAUAAUAGUUGAAAAAUCGUAAACCAGGCAUUCUCUAGAUUUGUGUUCCUUAGGGGCAGUAUUACCUUUAGGUACUUAGUUCUUACCUUUUGGGCAUUUUUUUCUAGGAACAGAGCAAAAUGUGCCAUAAGUUAUGUGCAGUGAUUACUCAUAUGAUGAACUGGUGAAUUGCCAAGUACAUGUAUUAUACUCAUGAUGAACUGGUUGUGCCUGCACUUUUGCAGUUUGAGGAGGGAGUGACCCCUACUGCGUACGCCUUUGCACUGGUGGAACAGCGCGGUGGUAGUGCAACUAUUUCUCUUAGAGCUUUUCUGGCAGGCGAAAUUCAAAAUCUGAAUGUUUCCAAGCCUGUGAACGCUCCAAGGCUGCAGCGUUUUGCUUCCAUUUUGGCAGCUGAGAGCAGCACCCUGUGGAUAUUGAAGGUGUGUCAAAAUUGUUCUGAGACAAGCUCCUGAGUUUUCAUGCCAGCAUUGUUUAUUGACAGCAUGUACUACUUGAUUUGCCAUUUUCUGGUAAAAAUUUUCAGGUCUGCAGCUUGUCAACUAUAAUGCGGGAGUUCACAGCUAUGCAUUCUGUAGCUUCUCUUCCUUUUAAGGACUCGAUUCUUUCAGCUGCUGAGAAGCAUAAGGAUGGUGAUGAUCAAAGUCGUGCGUGGAAUGUCCCUCAGCCACUUAUGGAUCACCUCAAAGCAAAUCUUAAUGAUUCACAGCUAGAGGCAGUCAAUGUGAGCAUCCUUUGUGAUUUUUGGUAUUGUUCAUAUAUCUAUUGUAUCUAAUAUCUGUUUUAAAGGCUGCGGCUCUGAUAUAUUACUGUACUGUCUCUAGGCAGGUCUUUCGCGCAGAUCAUUUGUUCUUAUUCAGGUUUGUUAUGUUUUCACUACUACCAUUGAAUUUGCAUUGUUAUUGUUUACCUACCUUGGUUAUGAAAGUACUGUAAUUAUCUUAGCAGUCUUUAGAUAUUUGUUUUUUGUUUAGAAGGCUAUGCAGAUCCAACACAUUACACUACUUAGUUUUUGUCGUAGGACACAUUAAGGAGUUAAGAGUAACCUGCAAUUUACUGAUUUAUGUACUUGUAACUGUUGAUUUGCAGGGUCCUCCAGGAACUGGAAAGACUCAAACUAUCCUUGGACUCCUCAGUGCUGUUCUCCAUUCUGCUCCUGCAAGAAUGAAGACAAAGUAACAAAAUACUUGUUUAUUCCUUUUUCAGUGUAUGGAAUAGUAAUUCUAUUUUUGAGGAUAGAUAAAUCAUCAUGUUUAAAAAAUGAGAGGAGAUAGAACUGAAAUAUGAAGUUUGACUGAAUUUUUCGAAAGCAUAUCCACCCUUUUUUUUUUCCCCCUCUGCACAUUCUUCAUUCAUAGCUAAACUUGGCACAUGCAUCUCGUAUUCUUUUUGAUCCUGUAAUGCAGAGGAGGAUUUGAUGUUCAAAGGCAUGGACCAGAGCUGGACAUUGAUGGCAAGUAUGUUGAAAAUUGCAGAUUUCCUAGUUAAUUUCUAUCAUAUUUAUUUCGACUUUUGGCAUCGAAAUUGGGAGCAUAAAAAGCUGAGUAAGAAUGUCUAACAGCCUCAAUAUUAUUAGUUUUCCUUGCAGUUUUGAAAUGCUCCAUCCUUAACUUAUUUUUCUUAUAGUUCUGCAUGGUUGUUUAAGUCACUAGAAAUUCCUUAGUUUUUGACAUUUUUCUUAUUUUUUGGAUAUCUUAAAUCCACUAAAUGGAACUAGGCCUUGUUGGAAGGAUAUGACUAUUGUUAUUUACACAUGACACCAUCUUCUGUAACCAUCUUUAAUAUCUAACUGGUGCUAUAUGGAAACUGAUAAGAAUAUGAUUUUUCAGUAUAAUACUGGUUCCAUUUUUACAUGCACAGUACUACUGCAAUUUUUUCUUGGUGCUAAUAUUGUGAAUUUCACAUGACAGGUAUGCACACUGGGUAAAAGCAUCUCCUUGGUUACUUGGUGCAAACCCUAGAGAUUUGAUUAUGCCUGUCGAUGGUGAUGAUGGUUUUUACCCCACUGGAAAUGAACUGGUACUCUUCUGUUCUGUGUACUUGCUAAAAUUGGUCCUGGUGCCUUGAUUAUUUUACCCCUUACAAGGCAAAAAAAAAAUUCUUUAUAGAAACCUGAAGUUGUAAGUUCCAGUCGCAAGUAUCGGGCCCAUGUGUUGGUCUGUGCUCCAUCCAACUCAGCACUCGAUGAGAUUGUGUUACGUGUUCUUAACACAGGUAAAUGUUUCGGUGCUAAGUUAUCCAAUACAUAUACUAUGCUCCCAAAACCUUUUUCACUUUUUGCAUCUUAUGCAUUUUGUCACUAAGUGGACUAUACCAUUAGCAUGCAUUAUUUUUUUGCUCACAAAUCAUUAGGAUGCAUCAUGAGCAAAUUAAGAAAUGAAAUAAUGCUUCGUUUUUUAGGAAUUCGAGAUGAAAAUAACAACACUUACAACCCUAAAAUUGUGCGCAUUGGAGUGAAGGCACAUCAUUCUGUUAAAGCAGUUUCUAUGGAUUACCUGGUACGUGAUUUAAGCUGCAAAGCAUUUUCUGUCUAACUUAACUUCUAGCAACUACAAUGAGUCCAUGCCUUUGCAGAUACAACAAAAACUUUCUGGUGUAGAUCGCACAUUAGAUGGUGGGAGACGAGGGGCUGGCGAAUAUGAUCGGAUUAGAGCUUCAAUACUGGACGAAGCGGCCAUUGUACGUCAUCUGCUAUUGUAGUAGUAGAGUUUAUCUAUUGUAAUUUGUUCUCAUUGUGAAGCAAAAUUUGUAGGUAUUUUCUACUCUGAGUUUCAGUGGAUCAUCAAUUUUCAGCAGGAUGAGCCGUGCUUUUGAUGUUGUUAUAAUUGAUGAAGCUGCACAAGCAGUGAGGAUAUCUUUUAAACGUUGCUUUUAUUAUGGAGCAUUUACAUUAUUAACUGGGAUAUUGGCAUAUCCUCUAAGCCUCUAUUUUAAGUAAUAUUUCUGAACUUUACCUUAUAUUCUUGUUUUUCAGGUGGAACCUGCAACUCUUAUACCCUUGGUCCAUGGGUGCAGACAAAUUUUUCUUGUAUGUUGUCCACUUUCGCAUUUGUUUCUACACAUUUUUUUCUUUUCUUUAAGCAUUUCGCUCCCCCUUAUGCAAUAUGUAUAUUAUUCAUUGGUACAGUACCUUAUUAUACGAUAGAAGUCAGGCACCGCACAUGAUAUUUUGAAUAUAUCCUCUUCUCAGGGUUGUAGUACAUAUAGGAACAUUUCUCUCUCUGGGCUUAUGUCCACAUCAUGCUUUCAUUUCUUGGUGUGCGUGUGUCCAGUCUCACCAUUUUGCUCAAUUUCUAUCACUCAAAAAGUGUUAUAUUAGUAUCUUGGCUCAUGAGUGCACUGACUAUAGCUUUUGUUAGUGAUUCACUAUAGCAUUCACUGUCUCUCCUAAUAUCCUAAUCAGGUUGGUGACCCAGUUCAGCUGCCCGCAACAGUCAUUUCAUCAACUGCUCAGAAAUUGGGGUAAGAUGAUCCUUAUUUUCUUUAUACUGUUCCAAAUUGUUCAGGUGCUGUAAUUGCUAAGGUGAUGCUCGUUUUAUCUGUUAGAUAUGGAACAAGCUUGUUCAAAAGAUUUCAAGGUGCUGGUUUUCCAGUGCAAAUGCUUAAAAUUCAGUAUCGCAUGCAUCCAGAGGUAAAUCUCCCAUCCUCAGCAGCUCAAUCUUUCUUAAGCCGGAAACUGGAAUGGUUUUUGUAAUUCAUUAUUCACUCAAACAGAUUAGUAUCUUCCCUUCAAAAGAAUUUUAUGAAGGGGUACUACAAGAUGGAGAGGGUCUCAGCAAGAAACGCCCAUGGCAUUCCUACACCUGCUUCGGACCAUUUUGUUUCUUUGAUGUUGAUGGUGUUGAAUCCCAGCCACCUGGAAGUGGUUCUUGGGUGAAUCAGGAUGAAGUGGAAUUUAUAACUCUCCUAUAUCAUCAACUGGCAAUGCGCUAUCCAGAACUCAAAUCUAGUUCUGAAGUGGCUGUGAUAUCACCGUACAGGCAGCAGAUGAAAUUAUUGAGGGACAAUUUUCGGUUGACCUUUGGGGAUCAAUCAAAGGAAGUGAUAGAUGUAAACACUGUUGAUGGAUUCCAGGUAACAAACUCAUAUGUAUUUCAUGAAUGGAAUUUCUUUACUUGUCGGCUCUGUGCCUCAUAUAUUCUUGCAAGUACCAGUGAUGUUUCUUCUCAUCCACUACUGUAGUAAUAUAAUUGAGAAUAUAUUUAAUUAUACAAGUCACUAAUACAGCUGUAUCUCACUGGUUGUAUUUAGGGCCGUGAAAGAGAGGUAGUCAUUUUUACAUGCGUAAGGUGCAACAAGGAGCAAAAAAUUGGGUUUGUUUCUGAUUUUCGGCGAAUGAAUGUUGCCAUCACAAGAGCUAGGUCUGCUGUACUGGUAACUGCCUCUUCUCCAAGCUUUAAACUUUUUUUCUUUAAUAUUUUGUUUUGCACUAUCUGCAGACUGCAGUAACAUUGGUACCAUCUUAUGCAUGAUACUCAUGGCAAGUCUGCACUCAAGGUCUCAAUUCAGAGAUAUUAGCAGGUUAUAAAUGUAAUAAUUAAGGAGCUAGGAGGUUAAAAAUUUAAUUAUUAAAGGUUACAGUUUAAUAAUUAAGGAGCUAUGUGGCCUAACAAGAUAUAUACAGAAUGGUCCAGAUUCUCUUGCAUGCAUCCAUACAUGUAUAAGCAGCUUGUUCAAGGAUGCUGUUUAAUUGUUCAUGGUUGCAUCCAUCUUCAAGAUUUAGCUGACAUUUAGAAACCCACUUUCUUUGCUCAUGUUUUGUUAUACACUUACACUUGGGUCGUUUACUUGUAAUUCCAAAUAUUAAUCUGCAUACCACAGGUUGUAGGUUCCGCUUCAACCCUGCAGAAAGAUGAGCACUGGAACAAUCUUGUCGAGAGUGCCAAAGAGCGAAACCGCUACUUCAAGGUGCGAUUGCGAUGGGCUACUCUUGUUUCUCAGCUUGAAAGAGCAAAAACAUCUGGAUGAAUCUAAAUUUUGCAUAUCUUGCAGGUUCCCAAGCCAUUCGGUGCAUUCUUUGCCGAGGAUAACCUGGAGACCAUGGCGGUGAAACCACAGAAGGAUCCUCGUCCUCCUGAGCAGAAUACUGAAGUGAUGGAAGGAAUGAAUGAAGCAGCGAUGGGGCGGGAGUUUGAUGCUGCCGACCAAGCAGAUGCAGGGGAUGACGACGAUGCUGAUAUGGAUGCUGAUGAUGGAGGUGGUGAUGACUGAUUGUAGGAUGCCAUAGCGGUGUGGCCUGGGAUAGAACAAUUGUGUUAGAGAACUGGUACAUAUAAAGGAUAUUAGGGUUUUCUUGGGUGGAUAUGGAUGUUGACGAGGCUUGAAAACAGAAAUUUGGAGCAGCUAUUCUUUUUGUCUUAAUCCAAUUUUGGGAGGAAGAGAUGUCCGGAUGCUUAAGUUACACUACGAACAUUACUCGUUUAUGAGACUGUAGAAGUGUCAGAUACAUCUUUCUUGCGUACGUUUUCCACGUCGCAUUUGUGCACCUCAGAAAUCAGUUUGCCAUGCCUUAGAGAAAUAAUACAAGUUUAUUUUGAGGAAGCAGAAUGGCAGGCGUCACGUGCCGCUGCACCUUCACAUGUAACCGUGAGUCGUGACCUUAAAAGGGAGUCAAGAGUGUCCAUCAGCCAAACAACAGAAUUCAAGCACACGGACAACAAGUGGCGGCGCUCUCGUGAGUGAUGAUGUUUUUGAGCAUGAGGUGAAGAGUGUUUUGUGGGAUUGGGAGGCACCGGAAUUCCUGGCUGAAGAAUGCGGUACUGAGCCACUGUCCAUUAACCCAUGCUAACCUGCAGUUCCAUUGGAUGAGACGAUAGACAGGUGCCAGUACUCCAAAAGACUUCUCUAGGCUGUGACACCAAAUCACAACUCAAGAGACGUUGGCUUCCCCUUCCUUACGCCGCUGCUCCAUGUAGCAUUGGAAUUGAUUGUUCUUUUAGAUGGACAGGCAUGAUGGGUCUUCACCUUCAGCUUCUUUACGCCAAGUCGAUACCCAAAUGGGAGGACCCCCUCCGAUAGUCGCACCAUUAGCCGGCGCUCUCCUCCAACGAACCUUUGCGCAUUGGCCUCCAUGCCAUCGAGCAUUUCCAUAUCCUCCUGAUCACCAUUGUUAUGUCCUUCCAGCUCUGUUUCUGUAGCGAACAUGGCUCUAUUAGAUCAUAGUUUCUGAUUUUGGUGAUUGAGUGACAACAUGAUCAUUUAGACUAAUGGUUUGUUUAGAUUACACUUUGAAGGUUUUCUAGAUCCUAAGGAAGCAAACCACAAACAAAAGCCACGCCAAGAAAUGAAGAUUUAUCCAUUGAUGCAAUGCACCGACUCAUUCGGUGAUGGCAAGAAACACCACCGAAUCAGUCGAUGACUAGGGCGCGCAUAAGCUAAUUGGGACCAUCGGAUGAUCCUUUGGGUGCCAGACUGAGGCAUCGGGCCAUCCAAUGGCCACAAUGGAAGUUAGCUGAAGGGAGGCACACCGGAUGAUCCGACGGCCAUUUAUUUGUACCCAUCGAACAAAUAACUGGGGCAAUGAAGAAAAUGAGAGGAGCACCGGAUGAUCCGAUACUAUGCCUAUGCGUUGGUGAAUAUCGGAUGAAGCAUAUUUACUUUGUGUACUUCCAGAGAGGUUUUGGGUGAAAAUUCUUCAGCACCGGAUGAUCCGAUGGAGGCAUCGGAUGAAGCACCGGAUGAAUCGGUGCAGCAAAUCAGUCGAUGGAAUGCGUCGGUGAGGAAUUUUAGGCGCAGGGAUGUCUAUGGCUAGUUGCACCGGAUGUUCCGAUGCCUCUAAAAUGUAACCAUCGGAACAUCCGAUGGUAUAUUUUAACUAGCUAUUGGAGCAACGGCUCUUUAAGGUCUUGGGGCUAUUUAUACCCCUACCACUUGCUUAUUUGGAGUUGCUGAAGUGUCCAGGAGUGCAUUCAAGACCACAAGACUCAUCAAGAACACAUCCAUGCCACCAAAAGUGCAAAAGUGAUUGAUCCAAGGCUUAGCACAUGCUUAGAGAAUGAUUAGUGCUAGAAUAGGCCUAGAGAGAGUUAGUGCAAGGUGCUGCUACCUUGUGAUUGGUUCAAGGAGUGAACCACCAUUGUAAGCUUCGUGUGCCGACGCCUUAUAGUCUUGGUGGCUCGCCGGCAAGUCUUCGACCCUCCAUCUUGGUGUGGAGCGACAACGAUGACCAUAUGACCAUGUGCGGGGGACGAGAAAACCUCUUCCUUCGUGGAGAAGUUCCGUAGUGAAGAUGAUAUCAAGGUGACCGGAAGAGAGGGAUUGGUGAGCCUUACCUUAGUGGCAAGCUUCUCAUUCAGCUUGGUGAGAGCCUUUGUGGUGAGUCCAAAACCUUGACCGGGUGAGACUUGGUGAACGGGAGCAUAUCCUUGGUGGAGCUCCAACGUGGACUAGGGGUGGCAUUUGCCUACUGAUACCAUGGGAUAAAUCGUCGUGCCGAGUUUGCCUCACCUUCCUAACCUACUCAUUUACGUUUCUGCAUUUCAUACUUGCAACUUGAGUGCAUUUACUUACUAGAGUAGUAUCUUGAUAUAGGAUUGGCUCUAAGUUGCAAAACUCUUUGUGGGAGAGAAGUUUCACUAGAUUAACUAUAGUUGCACAUCUAAACAGCAUGAUCCAGCUUAUGUUUCGAAGCAAAUAGUGGAAGCCAUAGGCUGAGGAUUUUAAGUUUGCCUAAUUCACCCCCUCCCCUUCUUAGGCUACGAACAUUGAUUCCUUACAUCUUCCAAUGCAAACACCUUUAUUCCAUACUUGAAUACUACUCAUCUCUCAUUAUGUCUUGGAUGGUGUGUAGAAACUAGAUCUCAUACAACAUAUGAUUUCUUCUCUUUCUUCAUUUAUGCCCCAUCAUCUUUUAUCCUAAGUGGCAGCUCAUUUAAUUCUAUGGACACCAUCCUAGUCAUCGGAUUGGGACUGCCCUUAGAGGGGGUUGUGGUGUCUUCUUUUUAUCAACUGUCCUCUCUCUCAUAUUAAGGCUCCCGGCUCCUCCUCCCAAAGAUGACUCAGGGCUUGUUUGUUUGAGCUGCAGUUUUUGAGCUGUGCUAAAAAGGUGUUGCUGGCUAAAAGCCAACACUAGUUUUUAGAAGAUGUGUUUAGCUUUCUGAAUAAAAAAGCUACAAAAAGCUCAUAAAACUUAGCUUUCCAGCUUUCCAUAUAAACCAAUGUUGCAAAUCGCGGGCUAUAAAAUUUAGCGGAGUGUUCCUGAAAAAGCUAUAAAAGCUAUGACAUUUAGCGGUAUGCAAAAAACUAGCAAGAUUUAAACCUAAACAUUGUUAAUUUCAUGAAUUUCAGUUCAUGUUUCAUAAGUAUAUGGAGGCAUAAGUGUAAACAUAAGCAAAUAAGUCACAACUCACAUGAUAAGUCAUAAAUCAUAACUCGUAGUUCAUAAAUCACAAGAAUAUAAAUGUAGCUUAACCAUAGCGGUGUUAGCGGUGCUAGGUUAUUGAAUUUAGCGGGGCUAUUUCACGCUUUAGCAGAGUUAGCAGCAUUAGCGGUAAUAUUUGCAAUAUCAUCGUGACAUCUGUCUCAAAAAGCUAUAGCGGCCUAUUAGCAGGCUAUUUGCAACAUUGAUAUAAACUCAGCUUUUCUGAACUUCGAGCUUUUCAGAAGCUGCGCAAAAAUUUCGCUGUCAGACGGCUUCUAAGGAAUCUUGCGCACUAUAGCAAAAACGACCCAUAGAAACUGUUGCUAAAAUGAAUUUCAACCGUUCCGAAGAGUCCGAGAAGCAAGAGCUCUCCCAAAUGGGUCGUAAAAGCACAUUUUGGCAUCUUGAACUAUCACAAAAGGUACACAAUGGACAUUAGUUAUUAUGAGAUCGACUGCAAAAGUGACAGCUAGACCACGUCUCUUACUUAUGUCUUCCGUGUUGCAUUAGUGCAUAUCAAAAACUCAUUUGCCAGUGGUUAUAAAAAAUAAAUAAUUGGAGGCAACAGAACGGCAGCAAAUUAAACAUGUGCCCUGCACAUGAGUCUGCGUUAUGGCAGCUGCACGUACGAUCGCACGACUGAUAAAAGGGGGCCAAGGGUGUGUCCUGUCGUCGGAUCGUCUCUCUCUCAACAAGCACAAGGACACAAUAGAACACGAGAACAAGUAUGAGAGACAAAUCUUUAUUUCUUUCUGAAUUGGAUGAUUUACUAUGAAGAUCUUCCUCGUAUAUAUACUUCGAACCUAGCCUAAAGUUUUAGUAAGAACUCACAAACAACCGGAUUAGGAUUAGGACUAGAACUUUCCUUCUAGGAAUCUCAGCUUCCAUAUCCUGAGAUUGAGUCCUGUUGUUUUACAACAUGUCCAUCUGCCAAGCACCAAAAUACGCGCGCGCACACAUAGAAGACAGAGUGCCGAGAAGUCUGCUCUCGAGAGAGAGGGAGAUUGAGGAUGCCCUUUGGGCACGAGGUGGUGAGUGCGUCGUCUGUGUGGGAUUGGGAGGCACUGGAAUUCGAGGUUAUAUAUACAAGGUAGGGAUCUGAUUCUGCCAAUGUUAAUCCGGAGUCCUGUUCGAUGGGCCAGAAGAGGUCCUAAUCCUGCAAAGUUCUCUGGUUCAUGAGGCGGUGAUGUUGGCUUCCCUUUCCUUCGUCGGGGCCGCACUGUAUCGCUAGAGACCUGAGCCAGUCCUCUGCGUUGUCCGGUGCCUGCACAAGCACAGCAGAAUGCUCCGCGUUGUCCUAGCUGAACGGUGGCACGAUGGAGGUGUAGGAACCGUAUCUCACAGGGAGCUGGGCGUGCUGUUCUUAGCAUGGUUUUCCCUAUGCUGCCGGUCACUCAUGUAUGCACAUGUUGUAUGGAACCUAAUAAUCUUUCAUUCCCGUACCAAAAUGUGUCAUCCACUGGGUGUAGGGGCACCAAGUGUUGUCAUUUAAUUUGUCGGUGGUUCCAAUGAUCUUGCUCAAGACCUUGAAGGUGUUGAAAGGGUUCCUCCUCCGGAGGUGAAUGCUCAAGCGCUGGAAACGAUCAACGAAGCUGUCAUAAGGCUAUGGUUUUAUGUCUUUACAAGAGGCUCUGCAAGCACUACUGCUCCAAAGAGUGAAACUUCAAGUUCAAGGUGUGAUUGUGAUUGCUUCCAUGUUGUUUCUCAGCUUGAAACAGCAACAGCAUUUGGAUCAAUAAUCCAAACUACGCGCAUCUUGCUAUUCGUUUUCUCUUAUCCAAUUUUGGGAGGAAGAGACGUUCGGAUGCCCAAGUUACGUUACAGCCACUGUUUAUUUGAGAGCGUAGGAAGUGAUGCACGCUUCUUGUGUACGUUUUCCACGUCGCAUUUGUGCACUUCAUAAACCAAUUUCCCAAUGUCUUGGAGAAAUACAAGUUUAUUUUGAGAAACUAGAAUGGUAGUAGUCAGUAGUCACAGUCCGACUCCACAUGAAACGACGCGUCAUGACUCACGACCUUAAAUGGGAGUCAAGAGUACCCAUCACCCAAGCAACAAAAGAGCGCUAAUGGGAAGUGGUUGCGCUGAGCGAGGAUGUCUGUGUGCAUGAGGUGAAGAGUGUAAAUCGUGGGGCUGGGAGGCACUGGAAUCCCUGGCUAUACAGGAUGGAACCAACCCAUAUGCUAAUCUGGAGUCCAUUUCAACGGAGUGACUGAGAGGUCCCAGUACUCGAGAAGCAUUCUCUAGGCUGUGCCACCUCAUAGUCAUUGCGUUCCCCUUCCAUUUUAAUUGAUUUGUGUCCUGUGUUGUUCGGAGCUUGCACAUGCACUCGGCGAAGUAAUUAAACUCGGCGACGUUAAGCUUUCCCGUAGUGUGGACAACCCUCUACCAGUUGCAGGAUUGGGUGGUGGCACUGGCUAAUGUUGUUUUUCGUUCUUCAAUAGCCACAGUUGUGUAAGCUUCUGCCGUAGAAUACCAUGCUUCAUUUUAUCCCGGAUUAAUUCUUGGUUCCACAAGCUGUGUUCACACAGUUCCAAAUGUCGCUCACAGAGGCUAUUACUUGACCAACCGUACCAAAAUGCUACCAGGUGCUCGAAGAGUUCGUCAUUUGUUUGGGACGGCUGUCGCAUAGUUGGUUUGUCUGUCUCCGAAGUCCAAGCAUAUCACUUGUUGGCCGUACUUGUCAAUUGUCAUCGCAACUCGCAAAUGUGCGUGCUGUUGUUCUGUUUCGAUCCUGUUGCAGGUUGGAUCUAUUAGUGGGUGGUCCUGUCUCCUUCCACAAAGUAUUCUCUCUCCUUUAUAACAGUCUAUAAAAUUACACUAUGAACGUUUAUGUAUUAUGUCCUUUUAAAAACAUUAAAUAAUUUUUAUGGGACCGCAGAAGUGAUAAUAAACCGACGGCAUCUCCUAUGUACGUUUUCCGUGCCACAUUAGUGCCUGUCAUAAAAAAACCAUUUACCAUUGGUUAGAGAGAUGAAAGUUUUGAAGCAGCAGAAUGGCACAUGAGACCACGCUAUGACAGAGGUUGCAUGGCCGAUAGAUCAUCGUGACCAUAAAAGGGUGUGACCUGCUGGCAGUGGCGGAGCCAGCAUUUGCAAGUUGGGUAUUCCCAUUUUCUAUGGAAAAAAAAAUCUAGGAAGCCAUCCACACUAAUUUUCCAAAGUCUUCAAAUAUCUAUAGAAAGAAAAUUAUACACACUAAUUUACUAACUCGCACCAUCGAUUAUGCUGCAAAAUCGGUGCUCACAUAUUGCAUGUUCUUUCGCUCUUUUGCCAGAGUUGAGCUGCGCCCCUGCUGCUGCCUUCCACGAUUGCGUUGUUCAGCUGCUAGCUGCUGCGCCUGGGACAGUUGUGCUGUUCGGCACCCGGUCAUCCCCUUGUGGCGCGGACCUAGCUGCCUGCCACAUCCAGCAUGCGGCCGGUCGGCCAGCCGCCACCUGGUGCUUGCCGCCUCCAGGACUCCAAGCGGAGCCCGCCGGCUUGUGCUCACCGACUCGUUGCGCCCGCCACUCGCCAGGCCGCUAGACCUUUCGUUCGAUUCAGUUUUGGGGUAGGGCAACGACAAGGAGAGGAGUGCAUGUACAUCACUGUGUGCACCGUGCGUUGUGGCGAGAGGCUUAGAGUGCUAGCCUGCGAGGAGAACGACGAGAGGCGGAGAGAAGUGGGAUGUGUGGGCUGUGGACUGUUCUGUGGCAGGCAGGGGAGGGUGAAAAACGCUGGCUGGGUUGGUGUGGCACUUUGGGUCGAUUUAUAACUUAAGAACCAGAUAUUACAGCCCAAUAUAGUAUCUACAUAUGUAUACACUUGAUUUAUACUUGGUCUUUUGCAAAUAAAAAACUCAGUGUUCGUCCCAAGGUUCAGUACCGGUUGCAUUUUGGUCCAGUAUUAAUGUGAGCAUUAGUACCAGGCCUAAUGGCUAGUCCCCAAGGAGCCUCCCGAGUGGAAUUUUCACCCGGUACUAAAAGGAUACCUCCCCUCACGCGCAGCCCCCCUUCUCUCUCACCCCACGCUCACCCCCAUCCCCACACUUAUCCGCUCAUCCUCUCAUUCAGCCUCUCACCCGCGCCUCUCUCUCUUCUUCUCCCUACCAAAUCCCCUCUCUCUCCCCAGUUGAAUCCCCUCCCUCUCUCCCUCACACAGAUCCCAUCGCUGCCCCUCACCUCUCCCCUCGCUCACCCCUCACCUCUUACAUGUGGUGAGGAGCGGUGGCGGGGCAAGGAGCGGCGGAGGCAAGAAGGGAGGGCACGGCGAGGCGGCGAAGCGUCGGCAGGGCAGCGGCGGGGCUAGGAGCGGCGAAGCUUCGGCGGGAGGGCACGACGGCGGAGCGUCGGCAAGCGUGGCGGAGCAAGGAGUGCGUGGAUCU
This 69333-nucleotide long non-coding RNA is filed under the name Setaria italica (foxtail millet). Its description in RNAcentral is "long non-coding RNA (SITA_LNC005245)". Lineage: Eukaryota; Viridiplantae; Streptophyta; Magnoliopsida; Poales; Poaceae. The record is from RNAcentral.